CUUAUGUCUCUCUCAAGCCCAACUCUACUCUCCCUUCGUUGACCCAUAAUUCUGGUCCAAUCCCCUUGGUGGCCCACGACAUCUCUUCCUCCCUUAACUCUACUUCUCACUCACUUUCCCCUCUUCUUUCCAACCACACAAGCACACCGUCUCCCACCACAGAAAAUGACGACUUUUCCUCUCCUUCUCGACCUUCCGAACUCGUUAUCGAACCUUCUUCUCAAAUUGAUCCAAACCUUUCACCACCGCCUUCUACAACUCUAGUAUCGCCUUCUCCGGUGCCACCGUUUGCAUCCAUCUCGUCCGCUCCUCCAGUCGAGACACCCAUCUUUUCACCAGAAACACACUCACCCAAACCAGCCACUCUGCUCCAUCGCUCCAGCCGCCAUAUCGCCUCGCCAAUCAAGCUCCAUGAUUAUGUUUGCUCCCACGUUUCCUCCAAUCAGUCUUCUUCCUUGAUUCCAGGUCCAACUAAAGGUACACGAUAUCCAUUGGCCAAUUAUGUCUCUUAUCACAGAUAUAAGUCUGCAUAUAGAUCUUUUGUUGCUCAACAUAGUGCUGUCACAGAACCCAGGUCUUAUUCGAAAGCAGCCGCUCAUCCUGAGUGGCAGGAGGCAAUGCGUUCUGAAUUGCAGGCUCUCCAAGCUAAUGGCACUUGGUCUCUCACUCCACUUCCGGUCGGCAAGACGUCGAUUGGUUGUUGAUGGGUGUAUAAAAUUAAACACCGUUCAAAUGGGUCUAUUGAGCGUUACAAAGCACGAUUGGUAGCGAAAGGCUUUACUCAAUUAGAAGUUGUCGAUUAUCAGGAUACCUUUUCCCCCACCGCCAAGAUCAUAUUUGUCUGCUGCUUGCUUGCAUUGGUUGCAGCCCGUGGCUGGUCUCUUCAUCAAAUGGAUGUUAACAACGCUUAUUCAUAGCGACUUACAUGAGGAAAUAUAUAUGUCUCCGCCGCUAGGGCUUCGGCGACAGGGGGAGGAAAACUUGGUAUGUCGCCUUCAUAAAUCACUCUACGGUCUGAAACAAACUUCUCGCCAGUGGUUCGCCAAGUUCUCAAAAGCUAUUCAAUCCGCCGAUUAUUCUUUGUUCACCAGAAAACAAGGCAAGUCCUUUACUGCCCUCUUGAUAUAUGUUGAUGAUAUUCUAAUUACUGGAAAUGAUCCUGUGAGCAUUGCUACAACAAAAAAAUUUCUGCAUAGUCAUUUUCAUCUCAAAGAUCUGGAUGAUUUAAAAUACUUUCUUGGCAUUGAGGUUUCUGCUUCUAAAAAUGGGAUUUUUAUUUCCCAAUGUAAGUAUGCAUUAGAGAUUAUUGAGGAUGCAGGAUUGUUGGGCGCUGCCCCUAUUGAUACACCUAUGGAACGAGGAUUGAAAUUUUCUGAUAAGAGCGAUUUGCUCAAGGAUCAAGGUCGUUAUAGGAGAUUGGUUGGAAUGUUAAUAUAUCUAACUGUGUCGAGGCCAGAUAUCACUUAUGCAGUCCAUGUGUUAAGUCGAUUUAUGCAUCAACCGAGAAAGGCUCAUAUGGAAGCAGCGUUCAGAGUUGUACGUUAUCUCAAGAAUGCACCUGGUCAGGGUCUGUUCUUCUCUUCGAAUAAUGAUUUCAGAUUGAGAGCCUACUGUGAUUCUGAUUGGGCAAGUUGUCCACUUACUAGAAGGUCCACUACAGGCUACUGUGUAUUCCUUGGACCUUCACUGAUUUCUUGGAGAUCAAAGCGACAGAAAACAGUGUCACUCUCUUCAACCGAAGCAGAGUAUCGUGCAAUGACAGGAGCUUGUUGUGAGUUGACAUGGCUUCGGUACCUUUUGAAAGAUUUGGGUGUUUUACAUCAGGAACCUGUCUUGCUGUAUUGUGACAACAAGGCAGCGUUGCACAUUGCAGCCAACCCUGUUUUCCAUGAGCGUACUAGACACAUUGAGAUGGAUUGUCACUAUAUUAGGGACAAGAUCUAAGAUGGUUCCAUUAUUACAAGACAUGUGAGCUCAGCGCACCAACUUGCAGACAUUCUGACUAAACCAUUGGGAAAGGAGUUUUUUGCUCCUAUGAUUCGCAAGUUGGGAAUGCAGGAUAUCCACUCUCCAACUUGAGGGGAAGUGUUGGAAAGUCAAUCUUCCUAAAUCUUCCAUAUUAAGAAUAGAUGAUUUGUAUAUGUUAGUUUUCCUAUUGUAAUUCCUGACUUAUAGAUGGAUAGUCUAGAAUAUGGUAAGCUGAUUCCUGACUUGUAGAAAAAGAUCUCAAACCUCCUUGUAUAAAUACACACUUCAACAUCAAUAAUAUUAAUUCAGCCAAUUCUUCUUCUUUUCAUAUUACAAAUAGAAACACUAUCAAAUGUAAUUUUAAAACAUUACAAUUUUUAUUUUUAAUGAUAGCAAUGAAAAUUGAUAACUCUUAAAAUAUUACCGUAUUUGUUUUAAUACCGAAUGGUAAUGUUUAAUAAUUUAAAACAUAUAAAAAUUGUAAUUUGCUAAGUAAGAAUUAUUUUUAUUUAAAAAAAAUUAUAUAUAAUAAAAAAUGCGAUUCAUGAUAGGUCAAUAAUUUUUUUAAGAUAGUUCAUUUUAAAUUUUAUUUCUUAUAAUAAACAAAGAAUUUUUUUUCAUUGGAAACAUUUUUUUUUAGAAAAAGUGAGUUUUGACUUACUAAUUUGAAAAAAUAUAGAAAAAGGAACCUAAACUUUUAUAAAUUAGUUUUUAUCUUCAUUCAUUUAAAAAUAUUUUAAAAUACAUUCCCUUUUGAUAAUUAUUUCUAAAAUACACUUUUAUUUAAUAAUAUUAAAUACAAUUAUCAAAACAUUAAUUUAUCAUUUUAAUUUGAUAAAAUAUCCUACAAAUAAAUAUAUUAUAAAUUUUUUAUUAUAUAGUAUAAGAUACAAAUCAUUCCAAAAAAUUUCUUGAGGAUCCUCAAAUGAUAAAUAAAAUCUUUGCAAUUCCCUAAUUAAUAAUGAUUGUAUAGCUUGAAUUAUAUAAAUUCACUCAUUUUUUCAUUUUUUUUUAAUAAAAUUCAAUAAAAAAAAUUUUAGUUGAGUUCAACAAUAAAAUAAGAAAAUUUUAAAAUUAAAACUAAAUAACUUAAAAAUUAAAAAAAAACUUUAAAAUUUAAAAAAUAAAAUAUUAACUCUCAGUGUAUUUCCAACACUUUCUAGAUAUCUUUAUUUAUUUGGAAAAGUUAAAGUUAUAUUUUAUUUUUAUAUUUUUUGCUUUAAAGUUUUUUUAAUUUUAAUUAUAUUUUAAAAUUUUAAAAUUUCUUAUUCUAUUGAUCUCAAAUUAGUUAUUAUAGUAAAAAAAAAAUUGUUAAUUGAUGUAAUUAACCUAUAAAUAAUAAGGAUCAUUUUAGAAAAUAAGUAUCUGGCUUGUAAAAAAUAUAUAUAUACUUAAAAUAUUUUUAAAUAGAUAAAGAUAAAUCUGAUUUAUAAAAUUUAAGGGUUUUUUUUAUAUUUUUUAAAAUUGGUGAGUCAUAAUGAAAAGAAUUUUUUUUUUUUUAUGGAUGCUUUUUUGAACAUUUCUAAGAAAUUAAGAGAGAGUUAAAUUUUCUCAUUAGCAAAGGAGAAUAGAAUUGAUUUCUUAUUCCUAUUCUCUAUUUCGGUAUUGAGAGUUGAAUUUUUUAGAGGAUCAUGGGCUUUUUCCAAGAUGAUUUCAAUACAAAUAUAAAAAUAAAUAAAAAUAAAAAAUUUCAUUGAUAAGAUGCCGUGGAUCUUGUAUGAUUUGAGGCAAUACUAGUACUCAUGUGAGUGGUCAUAGAAGACUUUCCAACACAACUCCCAUUUCAGGCUUAAAAAAGGUAAUGCAAGGGAUGAAUAUGAUUUCCAAAUUUCAUCCAAAACAGUAGGAGAAUGGGAGGCAUGUGCCCCCUCUAAAGUACCCUCAAACCCUUCAACAUUUAAUCCAAUUCAUGUUUAAGGAUCAUGCAAAGGUACCAUUUCAAGACCCUCUUCCCAAACCGAAAGAUUAAUUUUUACAAGGCCCUUUUGCUGGUGAUUCCCCUAUGCCCCUACUAUAAGAUAACUUAAUGCAGAAUUCUCAGUUUCCCUUUUUUUUUUUCAGAAUUUUUGGAGGCAUAUUUAAGAUGGUUUGGGGGAACAAAACAAAAGGGGUUCCUUAAAUUCAACUGGAAUCAGAAAAUUCCAUGGAUAUUUGGGGAUCACUGCAUUGAAUUCAGUUGUGCAAACAUGUGAAAGUCCUGUUUGGCUGUCGGUGGGCCGACUUAAGUCGAUUCAUAUUUAUGGCAAUGGAGGAAAUAAGAUGCGACGAUAGCGACUGAUAGCAGGGUGGCAUGUGAUCCUGGCUCUCUCAUUCUCUAUUCAACAUUCAAUGGCCUGUCCUCCCAUUCAAGCUCUGGCAUUUAUGGCUGACUAACCAAUUAACCGGCCAUAUCCUCUGAUGCAGUUGACAAGAAGUCCAACAUCCUAGACUCGCAAUGAUUAGAUUAGCAUCCUAAAAUUAAACCUUAGGAUUAGGUCAGUAAUGAUCGCUGUAUCCGCUAGAGAGUUCGAUGGGCUAGAUUGUUUCAUUAAUUAACACCACUUUCACCAGAAAGAUUGAAGAGUUUGAAGAAGAACUGCUUACAACCCAACAUAUUUUGUUCACUUGUUAUAACUUUUGAGUUUUUCAUCUUAAUGUCUGCGAAAUCAGAGACAUUCUUACCCAGAAAGAAAUCAAUGUAAAACUACUCAAUGCAAUUUUUUUUUUCUUGUGUAGAAGUGCCAAAUAAUUGAAUUGAGGCUGUUGAUGAACAGAGCGUAAAUUAAGUUUUUCUUCAAGAGGAUUAAGCCUCAAAAGGGGGACCAAAUCCAAGACCGAAGCUUCCUCUGAAGAUGGGCCAACAUGUCUGGGACAACCCAUUUAAUAUCACUGAAAACAGAGACAUGUUGAAGUUAAAGAUGGUCAAUGGAGUUAAUGAGAUAAAUUGAAUUUAUUGCUAGGGAGGUUUUCUGUAUUUUCACACUAAAGGUAGAAGUACAAGGAAACAUGUAACGGACAAAACAGAAAGGCUGUAAGAGACUUGAUCUUAUGGGGGGUCUUAGAAGCCAGUCAGGGCAUGGACGGUAGGAUGGGUACUUCAACAGUUCAACAGAACUUUUUUUGUUCUUUUUGUAAGUAAUUGGGAAAGACCCAGCAGACCUUAAUUAAUCCCUGUUCGACUGGGGGAGUUCUCUUGCUAUAACGACCGGAGAUUGUUGCCAGAAGAUGGUUUAGACCCAUCAAAAUCAAGCCUUCAUGUGUUCUUUUGCUGAGAGUAGAUAAGGAAGACAUCCAUCAUCCAUGGAAGCAGUCUCAUAGUAUGAUCUACAAGGACUAAUGUUGCAAGAGGAAAUAAUAUAUAUUUUAGGUUUUCUCUUUUCCUAAUAUUUUCGCAGCUACCAAACAGAGCUCUAAUUUAAAACCAGGUUCACUUUCUUGAACACUAUUGACUUAGACCAAAAACUGCCCCUGAAAAAGAAAACAGGGCUCCAUUUUUUUUCAAAUGGACAUUCUUGGAAGGGAUGAGAUAUGGUUUGUGGGAAGAAAGACUUUGCCUUAAGGCUCCACCAAUUGUAAUGAGACUGGCCCACUAAAUGUGCACCCCAUGUUUCAACCCUCUUGAUUCAAUUCAAAUUAAUGGCAAUUGCCCUCGUUUCACCACAUUUGUUCCUUGAAAUGAGGGAUGGCAAUUUGUGUUGAUAGCGGCGUUGGUAUCAUGUCAAAGCAUAAAUAUUCUAUUACAUAAAUCAACUCUAAAUAUUCUAUUAAAUAUAUCAACUCCAACCCACCCACCACAAAUAAUAUUACUUAAUCAUUAAAUAUAUACCAUGAUGUGCAAGUUGUUUUUAUAAUCAAAUUUUUCUAUUUAAUAAUUAGAUUAAGGUACAUAUAAUUAAUAUCUCAACAAAAUACAUAUAUAUAUAUAUAAUCAAAUUGAUGUUAUACAAAUUAAUCCUAAAACCAUUCAUAUGCAAAUGAUUAUGUUAAAUUCAAACUCGCAAAAACAAGCUCAUCGAAUUGUAUCAAAUUCUAUCACCCCUACUUGAAAUGAAUUGUUUUCAAAUAAAAUCAAUGACAAUUCCCCUCAUUUGAUUAGGAUUUUAACUAAAAAUGAUUUGUAUCAUCAUUCCACUGAAUAAGAGACUAUCACUAAAUUUACAGAUUUCAGUCACAUCAAGCUGACGAGAGCCCAAAUAUAAAAAAUACACAACCAAAAUCUAACAUUAAAUUUUCUCUGUUGAUUUCCCUUUUCCUUUUCCUAAAUUUUUUUCUUCUUCCUACACGAUUCUUCAAGUCAUUCACCAUUGUGCAAUAAGGACACUGUCUUGUCUUAGAACCAGACGCUUUUGCCAAGUGCAAGUGCAACCUGGAUAAACAGCUAGCCCCUGGGUCAUAAUUUCAGCAAGGAUUCAUUCGAACUACCACCACAAGGGACCUAUUACUGGUGGUGGUGAUGGCGGCAUCAGUUGAGAUGAAGAAGAGCUUACGCUCCAAAGACCAUCACUGGUGCUCCGUCUUGAGGAUCAUGGAUACCGAAUUUCAUAUGCACAGAGACAGCCAGGUAGCAGGGAAAUAAAUUGUGAUGGGAAAAAGCAAUGGACAAAAAAUUUCCUGCUAAUAGCUCACAAUUGGUGAUUUUAUAUACACUACAAUACAACAGGUAAGUAAAAAGGGCAGAUACCCAAAAUAUGAAAUCGGCCAAAGAAAUAAAUUUAAAAAAAAAAAGAAGAAAAAAUAAAAAGUGGGGAAAGGGUAAAAAUGGAUGGACGUGUUUGCUCCCUUCCACAACAUUUAUCCCACCAUUAGAAUCUCUGAUACAAAAUGUGUCAAAUGGAGAACUUCCAUCCCCCAAUGUCUCUAAAGUCGGGAAGAUGGUGAGGUGCCUCCCUCUGAUCUACGGGCAGCCUGGCCAGAAACUGAUGACUUGUCCGACCCACGAACAUUGUAUCUCUCAUACACCUUUUCACGAUUUUCUGACCACCAAUUCUCGGCUUGAUGUUCUCCAAAUCUUCUUCGGCUGCAUUUGCAUUUACACUUUCAGAUUGCAAUGGUAAAAUACAGUAUUAGAUGCCAUUCUUUUCUCUAGGUUUAAAAAGUUCUGGUCCUCACUAAAGAGGGUUGCCAGCGGCAAAAAUUCUCAUGAUUACAUGGCUCUGGACCAGCUGUCAUGAAGACCUUUCACAGCACUUGAUACCAUUGGUAUUAAUAUGGUUGAUCAGAAGAUCCUAAUUUUUGAUGAGGUGCUAAUUGCAAAUGAGGCCAUUGACUCUUUGUUAAAGAAUAAUGUCAGUGUGUUGUUUAAGUUAGAUAUUGAAAAGGCAUACGACCAUGUCAAUUCGACCUUCUUGUUGUCCAUUCUUAAAAGGAUGAAUUUUGGUUGGAGGUGGGUAGGAUGGAUUAAAUGGUGCAUUUCGCUUGCAAGGUUUUCAGUGAUCGUUAAUGGUACUCCUACAGGUUUCUUUCAAAGCUCUAGAGGCUUGCAACAAGGGGAACCUUUGCCUCCUUAUUUAUUUGUUGUGGCUAUAAAGGCUUUGAGUUGCCUUCUUAGAAGAGCCACAGAUGGUGGCUAUAUUUUGAGGGUAAAGGUGAAGGGAAGAGAUGACGAAGGGGAAGAGGUGUCUCAUUUGUUGUUUACAGAUGAUACUCUUGUUUUUGUAAGGCUUCCCAAGAUCAAAUGGUUCAUUUAUGCUAAUUACUCAUGUGGUUUGAAGCUUGUUCGGGUCUGAAAGUGAACUUGGAGAAAAGUGAGUUGAUUCCUACUGGUAGAGUGGAACGAGUUGAGGAGUUGGUUUCAAAGCUAGGGUGCAAAGAAGGCAAACUUCCUUCUACCUAUCUAGGGUUGCCUCUGGAUGCUCCGUUCAGAUCAGUGACAGUUUGGGAUAGGGUGAAAGAGAGGUUCCAUAAAAGACUCAAUUCAUCUCUAAAGGCGGGAGGCUUACACUAAUCAAAAGCACUUUAUCGACCCUUCCCUUUUAUUUUUUGUCUUUAUUCUUUAUUCCGAGGACAAUCAAAUUGAGAUUAGAGAAAAUUCAGAGGGAGUUCCUUUGUGGAGGUGGAAGAUUGGAGAAAAAGUUCCAUCCUGUGAAGUGGUCCACAAUGUGUUUAGGGAAGAGCACGCCAAGGUGGGGGGUGGGAGGUGGUGUUGCGUGUUAGGGAUUAGGCAUCUUUAUCAAAUAAGGUGUUUUUGUGCAAAUGGAAUUGGAGGAAGGAACAGAACACUUUCUUGUGUAGUCUUUCUUUUGUGAUGGGUAAUGGGAGAGUGAAGUUUUGGAUGGAUAAGUGGUAUCGGGAUGAACCAUGGUGUGUUUUUUUCCCUUCUUUGUAUGCUAUAGCUAUUUCAAAAGAGGAAUGGGUGGAGGAUCUUUAGGUUUAGACAGGGAAGAGAGAUCGUUGGAACCCUUGUCUUUCAAUACCUUUGAAUGAUUAGGAAGUAGCUGAAGAGGAUAUAUUUUUAGGUUCCAAGAAAAGGCAAUUGAUAGUGUGGGGGAAGACAUGAUGGUGUGGAUCAAUUUGUACAGUAAUCAGUUCUCUGUUAAGUAUUUAUAUGUCCCUUUGGAACCAAGGAGUAUGGUUUCUUUUCCAAAGUAGGUAGUUUGGAAUUGAUGGGUCCCCUCUAAAGUUAACUUUUUUGCGUGAGAGGCUUCUUAGGGCAAAGUUUUGACUUUAGAUCAGCUUCAAAAAAGAGGUUAGUCUUUGGUCAAUAGGCAUUUUCUUUGCAAAGAACAGAAAGAAUCCAUAGAUCAUAUCCUCCUUCAUUGUUCACUGGUUAGGAUCCUUUGACAGUUGUUGUUUGAUCUUUUUGGUGUCCAUUGGAUGCAAGCUACUAUCGUUAAAGAGGCUCUUUUAGGCUAGCAUGAUUCAUUUGAGGGCAAAAAACGUAAAAAGGUUUGGAGAGCGGCUCCAUUAUGUAUCUUUUGGACGGUGUAGAAAGAAAGGAAUCUCCCAUCAUUUGAUAACAAGGAGCAUUCAGCCCUUUUUUUAAGAUGUUCUUCCUUAUUUACUUGGGUAAAGCGGUAUAUAGAGACAUUCUAUGUCUUUACUUGAUUUUGUUGAGUGAUCAGGUUUUUGUUACGUGAGGGUGUUAUUAUUGGGGUUCUUUCUUGUUUUUAGUGCUAUUUGGCGCUCUUCAUAUACGUCUCGUGUACUUUGGUGCGUUCUAGUGGCACUUUUUAUUUUUUAAUAAGAGUGGUUUUAUCUAUCAAAAAAAAAAAAAUCCUAAUUUUUUUCCUAGACUACAUCUUAUUGCUGAUCUGCUAAUCUACUUGGACCAUCUAUAUAUAUUAUACACUCACACAGAGGGACGGGAGAGAGAGAGUCAAAAGGUAAUUUAGUCAAGUACCUGAAGCGCACUCUUUUGAGAUCUCUAGUCCCAUCACGAAGGGCCACAAGGGUUAUAUAUACACCGGGCUCAUACUGUUCAAUCCACUCAGCUUCAACUUGACUGUUGUCACUCAAAGUUGAAUUCCUAGAUUUUGUACCACCUUCACCAUCUUGGAGAGGCCCAGAAUCCUUGCAACCGACAGCUUCAGAGACACUACUGCUACUUGUCCGAACCCCUCCACCACCAUUUGGCAUUCCAAUAUCUGGAUUUUCAUCCCUCACAUUGGAGGUCAGAAGUCCCAGAUUCUGUUGGUAUGGAUUUGCUUCAUUGGUUCCAAGUGGAUCCCUCAUCAAUUGAGUAGAACCCUGAGUUCCAUUUAUUACAGCAGAGUAGGUUCCCGUGGGAGAAGCCAAGCAAGAGCCAUUAAUUGAAUCUGAUCUUGAAUGGCGCUCUCCAUUUGAAUCAGGAUAGUGAAUGCCAUUUGGCUCCAAACCGUUCAGUAAGUAAGCUGGCCUCAUGCAUUCAGCAUCAUAAACCCCAGGUGGCAGUCUCUCAGCCAUAUCUUUGAGCUGGAACAGUAAUGAAGGAUUAAUCAAUAGAACAUCAGUGAAACAAAUUUUUUUCAUCAAGUAUUGCAUGAAAGAAUGAAUGAACAGGUAAUUAGCACAUGAAAUUGGAAAAUGAAACCUUAAAAAAAACCCACAAUUUUAACAAAAAAUAUGGAUAAUGGUGCUAAUAGAACAAGACAUGUAACUUGCACCAAAUUUUCCAACUGCUAAACACACACACACCGAAUUCCAUACAUGAAGACAACAGGGCAGCCACAUAAUUGGAAAACGAAAUUUUAAAAUGAAACCUCACAAAAAAACCCACAAUUUUAACAAAAAAUACAGAUAAUGGUGUUAGUAGAACAAGACAUCUAACUUGCACCAAAUUUUCCAACUGCUAACACACACACAUCAAAUUCCAUACAUGACAACAGGGCAGCCACAUAAUUGAUAUAUAACUACUUAAACAACUUGUCAUACAAAACUGGACCUCAAGAGAUCUAGGGCAAUAUAGAAUCCAGAAAAUAACCUGUGCAGUAAGCGAUUUUAUAACUUCUUUUGCAGCUUUAGAUUUAGCAGAUUCCUCAGUAGCCACUACCAUAGCUUCUUGAACUUUCUUUGCUGAUUUCUGAAGCUCCAAUUCUUGAAGUUCACAUCGCUCUCUCAGACUCUCAACCUAACCAGUUUCAUGAUCAUCAAAAUGAGUUCUGAUUGAGAUUAUUAGAUCUAAGUAUAAAUUAAAAAUGAUAAAUUCAAGCUGGCAUACCUGUCCACGUAACUUAAGCACUUCUUGAUUUAAAAGUUCAUUCGUUUUCUUCAAACUAUCAGCAAUGCUUUUGGAGAAGGAAAGUCCAGAAGUUGUAGGAACAGGUGUAGCAGAGCGUGGAGGACUAGGUUUCCUAGAAAAAGGUGACACAGACCUAGAACUAACUCCAGAUGGUGUAAGAAUUGGUCUCGGAACUGUUCGUCGGAGAUCAACAGCACUGAACAAAACAACGUCUUUUAGCUGUAACAAAGGUGCCUGAGAAGGUCGAACUAGGGAGAAAGUAUCAGCCUUCUUUCCUUGUUUGGCAGCUUUGCUAUCUAACUGCUUAAUCAAAUCUAGAUUAGAAGGCAUUGCAGAUUUGGACAGUCUUAUUUCAGCCUUGUCUAACCUAUCCUUGUUUUCACCUGAAAGGCGGGGAACAGUAGUCCUCCUGUUAUUAGCUGCUGCUUCCAACACCUUGUUCAGUUUGGUAUAACAGGAAUCACACACACGGUAUGGCUUGCCUGGAUUAGGAGCCAAUGCAGCUCGUAAUGCUUUUCUGGAACUGCAUGAAUGACAGUGCACAAGUCCACAAUUGUAGCAAUUGUGCCUCUUUCGAGUAAACCCAAACGCCUGUCUACAGGUUGAGCAUUGAGACUGCUCAGCACCAGACACCCAUUUAUGAAGACAUAUAGCUGCUGUGUAGUUUGAACCACAAGCAAUAUAUUUGACAUGUCUAUCCUUCAAAGUUUCAACCAGAGUUGGUGUUUUUCUAUCUUCAAUAUCUCCAUGGCCCAACCUCCCAUUAGCCCCCUUUCCCCAUGUAUAAACCUCAUUCCUAGAUGUUAAUACUGCUACAUGGUACGCACCACAGGCAAUCUCUUCAACACAUUCCCCAAGAAGCUUAUCUUCUACAAAGCAAGGUAGCUUUCCAUCAGAUUGGGGGUUCCCAAGUUGGCCAUAGACAGUACUUCCCAUGGUACAAACUUGUCCUGACGUGGUCAACCCAACAGUUAAACUAUGCCCACAAGCAACUUUUUGAAAAUUGUACUCAAUAAGUGCUGGCACGCAUGUGGGUUUAAGCCUGGGUUCCUUGUCUCCAUGUCCAAGACGGUUUUUAUCUCCAUCACCCCAAGUAAAUAAUUUUCCUGAUGAAACACUUGCACUAGACUGUGUUACAAUAACCUCAACCACAGCAGCAGUGUGCCAAACCCCACAUGCAACAGCAAUUGUUCUCAAUCCAGAUAAAGAUUCUACUUCUCUUGGAUAUGCAACAUUGUCCUUGUCACCAUGGCCCAAUACACCAAAUGUCCCAUCACCAAAUGUAAAGAGCUGUCUUGUUGUUGUCACUAAAGCUGUGUGCCAUGGACCACAAGUUACUGAAGCAACUUGAAGUCCCUCAAGAGGACCUGAAAUUCUCUUGGGUAUCCAGUGACUAACAUCAGUACCAUGACCAAGUAGUCCAGCAUUAUGCGUGCCAUCUCCCCAUGUAAAGAGUUCGCCAGCCAUCGUAACAGCACAAGUGUGGAACUCUCCACAGGCAACAAAAUCAACACUAGUAAAAGCUAAAGAUUCAACUAGACGAGGUUGAAUGACAUCUCUCCCAACGCCAUGGCCGAGCCUUCCUCCAGAUUCUUCACCCCAUGUAAAAAUUUCACCUUGCCUUGUAACUAGGGCAGCAUGCCUGACACCACAGGCUAUAUGAUGUACAUCCAAAACAACAUUGGACUCCAAUGGCUUGGGAAGGAGCAAAUCUGCCCUGGUGGUCAAAUAAUUAGCAUUUUUAUCAGCCCCAACCUUGACCAAAUUAUCGCAUAUAACCUCACCCCAUAUAUAUACAUCUCCUAAAGCAUCACAAUCAUCUGGGGCCGAACCAUGACUGGAAGUGCUGGGAGCACUAGAAACACUUACUCGAAAAGCAUCUGAACCAGAUCCUUUUGUUUGCAUAUUUGUGUGGUCUAAUGCUACAUGUGACCUUUCAGGAGGCACAGAAUUUUCAGGCCGAUAGCUAUUGGGAGAAGUAUUUGAGUUGAAACCGACAGAAACUUCUGGAGAGCUAAUGUCUCGUGUAGCACUGACUGAACUGUCACUUGGACUAUUCGAAGUCAAGUCUUUGCUGUCCUGAAAUUGAUUUACCACAAAUUAAAAUCUCAGGCAUGAUAAUGAGAUUACUAUGUAACAAAAAAUAAUUAUCAGGACAAAUAUCCCAUGCACCUUUAAUUCAGAAACUACAUACUUAAAAAAGUUUGUGCCUCAUAGCCUCAAAAAACAAAAGAAAAAAAAAAAAGAGAGAGAGAAAGAAAGAAAGAGAGAAAGAGCUUCUAUUUACCGUACAAAGGCUCAUUCUAUGACUUUAAUAAGUGAAUCAGACUUUUAACAAAUUCUGUCCCCAUAAACUAGAAAAAUUCUAGCAACAAUAACUAUUCUAAACAGAUACGAGUUAGUAACCUACAAUUACGAAAACUGAUUGGCACCACUCAUCCUUUUCAUCUUUAGUGUGUGUUCAGGCCCAUGAUUUCAGUAUUCCACCAUGUAGGUACUUGAUAGGGUACAAAGAUGAUCUACUUUACAUUUUGAAAGGUGAUCUAAUUUAUAUUUCUCAUAAGUAUCAACUCACUGACCCAAUUGCAGCAUGCACAUACACGAUAGCAUGGAAAAACUGCACAAACCAGCAGCACAUAACAGGUAUUGGAAGGCUUCAGUAAUUUCAAAAAUCAAGGAAAUGUAAGAUCUGGACUAGUACAAUAUUACUCUUCCACAACUUCAGAUACAGGAAUAAGAAGACCAAGUUUAUCAUUAGAAAACACACAGUUUUCCUAGAAUAUAUAAGUUGGUUUUGAUAUUCCUAAAAGUUGAAAUGCUGGAGUGCAAUUCCCAAAAAUAACUACCUAGAGUAACCAAGAUUAUUAAGUUAUCAUUCAAAAUGCAAUGAAUCAAAGUAUACUCAAGUCUGUAGGAGAUGGUACAUGGCAAGAAACAGGUAAUAAAAAUUAACCACAGGAAGUUUCUAGGUAGGUAGAGUUACAUCAAAGUAGAGGCCUCCAUCACUCCAUCCAUCAAUUUUGGAGCGCCCACCUUGACCAGAGGAAAUCAAAGCUUUGAGCCCAGCAAUCCACACUUCUGCCUCAACUUUGUCCUUGCAAAUCUAAAAACAACACAUUAAAUCUUAAGUAUUCAUGCAGCAAAAAGAAAAUAACGAAUAGACUAAUCAAAUAACCAUGGAUGGAAAUCCAAAAUUUCACCACCAACCAGAUCAAGAGAUCGCUUUCCGUUGUUGUAUAUAAGAGAAAAUGACAAAUAAUCCUUCUCAGGACGUAGAUAUCGUUGGAAAACAGCCUGCAGUAUAAUUAUUACAAAAAAAAGAAAAAAGAAAAAUAAAAUAAAAUAAAUAAAGAUUUAGUUGGAAGAUAUAUGUGAAAGAACUGUUUGUUUAAUCAAAUACAAGGAGGGUAGAUUAUCUUGGUAAAACAUUAGAAUCAUAAAGUAGGAAUCUCACAGUUCUUUGUCCAGGAAUAAUUCUAGAGACAGAAGCUAACUUCAAAAUUCUUUCACCACUACUUGAAAUCCAGAUCAGAGAUGAUUCAUCCUGUGAUUUUUAAACAAAGAAUUGGUAAGUAGAUAUGGAAGAAAUUCAAACAUGGAGAGGCAAAGAUAUGGACUAAUAAACCAUAUAUCAGAUAGUAAAAAAGCCAACAAAGUAAAAUCUUAUAGCAAGCCAUGCAUAGGUAGAAUAAUUUUCUCAAAGGUAACUUUCCUUUUGCAUUUCAUGGAACCAAGCUUGGAGCUCUCCAUUCCCACCCCAAUCCUUUGCCACCUGAGCAAAGUCUCAGGCAAUAUGGUAGAAUUUUUGGAACUCCUUAUUUAAUGUUCCAAUAUUUAUCAACAACCAAAAACUAACACAGCCUGUCAAGCCAAUUAUUGGAGAGGAGGAUAUAAACUAACUAGGAGGCGGAUACAUUGGCAAAGAGGGGUCCUAGAUCCCUUGUCAGUCUUGUAGGGAAUUGAAUUCCUAAGGCUCCUGAGUGGGAAUGCAUUUUUUUUAUGUAGUGUGGGCCUUGUUUGUUUCUAAGGUUUUAUCUUAUGCGCACCCUUGUAUGUUUAUGAUUUGCAUAUAAUAUUCUUUGUUAUCUAUUUUUAAGAAAAGAAUGCAGAAAGAAAGAAUAAUGUCUAACAGAAGAAGCACUUGUAUAUUUGUUUUCAGAACCACUCACUAUUUCCCAUCCUAACUGAAUAAGAAUUGCAAUAGACAGGAAGCUCAGAAAAAUUUUACCAACUUAAAAAUCUGCCAGACUAUUUAAAUGGCAAGGAAAAUGCAUGUGCAAUCAGCCACAGAUGCAAUUAUGCGACUAACAUGGAAGAGCUGAACAGAAUCAAUCUUACCAACCACAGACGGUAGGAAUAAGACUCUACCCUGAUACUUGCAAACAAGCACAGAAUCACUAAUAAAACAAAAAUACAUACUACUAAGUGAGGGAGAUCUUAUAUUUAUCAUAGAAUUGUUAGCUGCGGAGUUGUAAGUCAACAAAUGAAAUUAACAAAAUACUGCCAAUCAAAAAAAUAAAAUAACGUUACCAAAAUGUGCAAUGUUGGUGUCCAAGUUAGUCAAAAGGCUGACUCAUGCUUUGAGAAUUGUUUUGUAAUUUAUUAUACACAAAAUUUGACCUUCCAAUCAUCUUAACAGUGAAGAUGAUGGAUAGGAAACCAGUGGAUUCUGCCUUCCAAUAUGAAACCUAGGAUUGCUCUCUAUAUUUUUAUCUAUGUCAUACUUGUAUAAUUUUAAUAUAUUUUGAAGAUACUUAGCAACUAAUAGCACUCAUAAAGUUAUAAUCUGAGUUUUCUAAUGUUUAGAUGUCAUUCAAAGUUCAAUUAGUUUCAAAUUGUUUACUAAUUUAAAUGCUGGCCCAUUCCUAUAUGAAUUGUAACUGAGUUCAUUGCAAUCUGAUUUUAAAUGGAAGUUGUCAACUUGUCAUUAUGCGGAAAAAGGUUUGACCCGCUAAAGGGUAUUUCCAUGGGAUCUAAAAAUGGAUUCACUUUAGGUGUUUAGAAGGCUGAUUUCAGUUACAUUACGUCUUGAGAAGUUGAAGUAGAAAUACCAUUUCUUUUUUCCAAGAGAAAAGCAUGCCUUCACUGUUUUAGACACUGUAAUUUGUUUUCCUUGAGUUAUUCUAACUACAAUAGUUUAAACUACUUGUUUAUUGAUUGGUCUUGACUCCCUAUCAGACCAUAGAAUCUCAGAUGAAGCCUAAUUUUGCCCUCUAAAAACAAAUAAGUAAAUGGGAAUCCUAAUUUAAUCAUUAAGAGAAAAGCCCAAUGCUUUGUGUCAGUCAUCCAACAGAUCACAUUAUAAUCUCAGUGACAAAUUUUGCAAUACGGAAAAAAGAAAUCAUUUCACAUACAAGAUGCUACUGAUAGACCUGCUGUUAUCAGGGAGAAGAAACAGUUUAAACUCAUAAUUGUUUCAGCAUCCCUCCGAAUUUAAGCAUACCUUAAUUUAAAAAAUUAUCUACUCCAAACAGCAAGUGUAGCACUAUGAUCUGACAGCACUAAAAUAUUUAAGCAUCUAACUUACAUUGGAAAGUCUAAAAGGACAAAAUUUGGGCUUCCCUUUACGACCAUAUUUAAGCAGUUGAGCACCCUUCUUAAGAGCAAUUAAUGCCUGCAAAAGGUAAAGAUCAUUUGCAACCAUGAGAAACCAACCACUGGCACAAAAAGAUUACAAAUGAAAAAUACCAGGACAAGAACACAGAUAGUAUCAUUAGGUUGUAAUAAUGUUGCAACAGAUAUGCAAAAGCAAAUGCUAAAUUGCUGCAUAAAUCACCAGAGUUUGUGGGGAAACAUAACUGUGCAUUUUGUUAUGCCAUAGGGAGACCCUCAAUUGACACAUAUAGGUAGUUGACAAUUGACUUACUGCAAUCCAGUGGCAAACUAAGGUUUUUUACAUGGCAUUUAGGAAAUCCUAGUUGUAAAUUAUGAGAGGAAGACGUUCUGUUCCCAUUAUUGUUACAGAUGGGAUGCAAAAAACAAUGAUAAGAAGGCAGAGAACACAAAACAGGAGACUGUUGAAGGUAGGAUGCCACUGUAUCAUUUUAGGUUUCAUAGGAUAAUGAAACCGUGUUCAUUAUUUCAAGAUUGCAGAUAGACACAUUUUAUGCCUAUUGUUCUGCUAAUAAGGAUGGGAGAUGCCACAAACAAAUUCUAAAUGUCAACUAUGAUAAAAGACACGCCCAACUUCCCUAAAGUAGGUUCUCAAAGUUGAUUCCAUAACUUACAGUUCAAGAGGAUUAAAUGGACUAGGCAUUAUAAUGAUUUUGAACCCUUCUUUAUUUUUUGAUAGGUAAUAAUGAUUUUGAACCCUUAGACCUAUAGCAGAGAGCUCCGUCAGCAUUGCAACCCAUACUAACAUAAAUAACAGGUUGUUAAUGUGUUAUGUAAUUGUAGUAAAUUUCAUGUGACAGAUUUGAGCACCUUAUACUGGUCAUAACUUCAAAACUGCCAGCACAAAAAUUAUAAUUUUCCAAAAUACAUGAUUUCCAUUUUUAGAAUCUUGAUAUACAUGUGUCACCAUCCAAAUCCAUCUAAAUGUUUUCAUGUGUGCAAAAGUAAUAAAUACAUCAUAAAAGUUUGGUAUACAAUUCAAAAAAUGGAUCAAGAAUGAAUUGAUGUGUGCAAUGUCAUUGAAUUUGUUAAUUAACCGUGACAAUUUUCAUGAAAAAAUAUUAUUCAAAAAGUGCACCAUGGGAUAUAUCCCCUUUCAGCACAAAUCAUUGAUAAUCAUUAAUCGUGCAAUGAGUGGCAUAUUUGAGAGGCAUUUCAUCGUGGGUCAUUGCAGAUCCCCCUAUCCCAUUCUUUCCAUCACAAAACCAAAUUUCUUCAAAUACGAUCCUCUGUUUUCCAAACUUCCACGGAUUCAAGUGGAAACCCUCAACAAAACACAUCUACCUAUACUAUCUACAAGCCAAAACAUCUUUUGAUCCAGCCUUCUCAAAUUCCUCAGUAUAUACCCUGCCUUGAAAGGUUCCCCCAGUUGAACUGGUAGAAAAAUGUCGAACUCCUCCAAGACCAAUCCUAAUAAAACAUCACCACAGCCUAUUCUUUCAAAUGUCACAAAUUUCAACCAUACCACCAGUUGAUAUUCCAUGAAAAGACCACAAAACUCAAAACUCCACCGGCCCAUCCCCAUUUCCUCAACAAAUGCAUCAAAUUUCUAAAUUCAACAAGGAAAUGGUCACUUGUCGCCAUCCUCCAUAUAUCUUACUUCUGAAGAUUCUAAAGAAAUUGAAAUUGAAUGAAGCGAACAUAUCCACCAAAAAUCAUCCAGAAAAAAAAAAAAAGAAAGAAAACACGAUUUCACUCCAAAUUUCAAAAGGAAAAAAAUAUAGAAAGAAAAGCAAAUCAGGAAAAAAAAAAUUACCUGCUCGACGUCACGCUCUGCAUUACCGUAGCUAACAAGAUCUGCCAUUCCAUGUGAAAGAUUCGCCGAAACACCACCACCCUCUGCCACCGCGUUCAGGUGCUCCGGUCAUCAUAAGCUUCCACCACGACGACGACUCUCUCGUCCGUACACUACCAUCAACGUCUACUCUCCACCAAUAUUCCACCCCCAAAACGACGCCGUUAAACCCUAGAUCUGCAACUCUCCCCAGUCCUCAACCACAAGAAACCUAAACCCUACCAACUCCACCGAAAUCGAAACUCCCUGCAAACUACGUUCACAGUUCGUGACGAUUCGUGGACUGGCCGUGGACUCACAACAAUGCUUCGGAGUUGACGAAACCGCCCUCCCGGAGAAAAGAAACAAAGAUUCAGAGAUAAAGGGGUCCCCGGAGAGAAAGGCCGGCGGAAGCGGACGAAGAGCGGCGACGAAACGGAGGAACCGGAGGGGAAGAGGAGAGAGAAAAUCAGAGGAAGCAAAGAGAAUCGGAUUUAAGUCCGGAGUCGAGUCCGCGUAAGUACGAGUCAAAAGAUGGGAAAAAAAGCAUGAAAUCGUCUGAGAACGAAAAGAAAUAUGAGAUGACAUUUCCAAUAAGGUAAAAACAUUACAAUAUUCACCAUUUCUCCUAAUUCUACUUUCCUCCCAUCUACUUUUACAUAAUUUCUGUUACCGCUUUUGAUAUCUUUGAAAUUACAUCUACUUCCUCAUGUUAUCUUCUAUGCCCGUCUCGUAUUCAUGAAUUCAUUAUUUAAAAGGAAAGUACUAUAAAUUUCGAUUUCACAAGAAUGCUAGUUUUUUUAUAAAAAAUAAAAUUAUCAUCAAACAAUUAAUUAUUAAAAAAUAAAAAAAAAUAAUAAUUGCUAUUAACAUUGAUUUCUCUUUACAUUUUCCUUCAUUUAUUGGUACAUGGAAUAUCAAAUAUUCAAAAAUUAAUGUAUAUAUAACUAUUAAUUAUAAAUAUGAAUACAAAUUUAUUGUAAAAAUUAAAAUUUUCCAUCACAUGAUAUUAUGUUCUAUAAAUCCUAGCCUAAAGAAACGGUAAAAUUUAAAAGUUGUCCCGCAUUAGGUAGAAGUCAUAUGCUAAAUACUUUUCCAACAAAAUUAAUUUUGAAAUUCCUUUCCUGCGGAAAUCACGUGUUAGAUUGGAGACGAAAAGUCACGUGAAAAUUUAAAAGUCGUAUUUGGAAUGUCUUUGUAAAUUUUUAAAAUUUUGAAAAAAACCAAAGACAAAGUUUAAUUAUUUUUUCAAUAUUAAAAUUCUAGAAGUUGCACCAACGUUCGGGGGACAUGGGGGCAAGUUCGUAAAUUGGACAACAAGGACGGUGUUGGUGCUGUGGCUAAGGGAAGAUGACAAAAUGACGGAACUGACCCUGUACGAGAUUGACGUGGCGGCUAAAUAAAGGCUGAGUUGUACUUUUAUCAUUGCUCAAGAGAGUACGGUUGGUGAGUGACUGGCGGAUUUGCAGCGGGGGCGUCUGGGAGGAGAGAUCGGGUACUUCUCGGGAGUACGUGCGCCAGAGAUUUUAAGCCGUUAACUUCGGCGGAUGAUUCCAGAUUUGGGAGUCAAUCGAGGAGAUUAUUGUAGGAAAAUCAUAUCUUGCCAAAUCAUCAUUGGAAAAAUAGUUUGAAUACUAAAAGUUCUUCUGACUUUUAGGGUCUUAUGAAUCUUGCAGGAAAUUGGUUGGAUUGGAAAAUGAAAUCAAGGUUUUAGUUCAAUUAAGUGUUUGGUUUGUAAGUAUCUAAUAAUAUUGUAUUUGGUUUGUAGAAUGAAUAAAAAUGAAAGGUAAAAUAUAUCAUAUUUUAAUAUUUUUCUUAAAAUAAAAAUAAUAAUGUGAUGAUAAUAUUGGUAAUUAAAUUAUUAAAAAUAAUAAAUAAAAAAAAUUAUGUUAUAGUGUUAAAGUUGUAAAAAUCUUUUGUAUAUACUAAUUAUUAUAUUAAAUUACUUUCUUUUUCAAACUAAAAAAUUUAUUUUUUUAAUAAAUUUUUAAAGUUGAUUAGAAAUUAUUUUUUAUAUUAAUUAUGUUAAUAAAGGAAGAGAUCAAGGUUGUUGCUUAUACAAUUUCAUUUUGGGUCAGCCUAAAUCUAAAAUUUUCAAUUAUUAGUAUUAAAUAAUUUAAAAUAGGAAAUUAUGAACAAUUUUCAAUUAUAAUUAUUAGAAAAACAUUAAAGCAAUAAAUUUAAGUAUAGUUUGGAUAAACUUCCCAUUUUUUAAAUUAAAAAAAAAAUAAUAAGUCAUAUAUAUAAAACAUAAUGUAAAAAUAACUUAUGAAUUUACUUUAUAUCCUUAAAAAUUAAUUUUAAAAUUUGAGAUAUUAAUUUUAAAAUUUACUUUAGAGAAUUGAAAACUUUUAAUAGGUAAUUGGAGUCCCCGGACGUGGAGGCAAUGUAGAGGAUAGCAGAGCCCGUGAUAUGUGAUAUCACGUGUAGGUAUCUCAGAAAUUGAGGAAAAGCAACGUUUUUAUUUUAAUUAGUAUUUAAUUACGGAUUUAGAAAGAGGUUAUUAUUACGCGAUCUUUCUUUGCUUUUGGGAAGUCUAUCUUGAAAUGACCAAAGCACCCCUUGGAUUUGGGAAUUUCUUGAAGGACGAGCCCUCCCACCUCUGUUCUUUUCGAUCUGGUGUGUGAGCGACCGUGUCUGGCAGAUGAGGUCUACAUGAGAUUGCAUGCAUGCCCACCGUUCGAUCAGAUUAUUUCAACCGCCCAAUACUUGGACUUUUACUUUUUGUUUUUUUUACUUUGACCGCAAAACGGUUGAAUAUUCAGCAGAAAAUGUCUCCAACCAUCCCUUUCUGGUGGGGGGAUAGUAAAAGGCAGCGCCUUCUUUUUUUUAAAAAUUAAAUAGGAUUAUUUAAAAAUUAAAAAACAGAAUUUAAUUAAAAAAAAUUAAUUUAGAAAAUGGGUUCAAUCACUUAGACAUGACAAUUAAAUCUUAAAUAAGAAAAUAAAAUUCAACGGUAAAAGUAAAGGCGUGUUUGGCCAAGAAAGGGUGUUUUCACAGGGGUGGAAUAGAGAUAGAUGUGAAGCGGAAGCAAACUUAGCUUUCAAAAAUAAAUUGUUUGUCAUGGACCACCACCUCAAGUGGCCUACCCCGGGGGCCUUAUUACCAAUUUAGGCUUCCCUAAAAGAAGUGAUAAAAAUACACUCAAACUGUUUUUAUAUUUUACUUUUAAUCAUAUGGUUGUAACUUGAGACCACAUGAUUUGUUAUCAAUUACAGUCAACAUUCAACAAUCUGUUCCCACUUCAACCCACCUUUAGUUGGAGCUAAUUACCAGCCCCUCGGUAUUGACCAAAUUUACAUGACCCACAGUCAAGAGUUGAUCCAUCCACUAAAAUAAUAGUUUGGAGGGAGAGGGAGAGGGAGAGCAGAGGGCAGGGGAUGCAGCAGAGAGAAUAGUUCCAAAGGGAAGAGCUCUGUUUGGUGAGGAAAGUGCUAGACUUGUAACCCUCUGCCAGGCAGAUGAUUCCAAUUGAUGUUCCCAACAUGAGCAACACUGUUACUCUGAACCCUUUGCAUAAUUUUGAACACAACCCUUCUGCCUACCUUCUUCAUCUGUUUGGUUCCUCAGAAACAUUAGGAAAAGUUUUGUUUACUUUCUAUAUUUUUGUUUUUAACAAUACAAACAUAAAAUAUAAUAAUUUUUAUAUAAAAGAAUAUUAAUUUACCUAGUAUCCUUAGGGAUUACUUUUAAAUUUUUUGAGAUAAAUACUAUGUUAUUUCUUAAAAUAUUUUAUUAAUAAUAACAAUAACAAUAAUAAUAAUUAUAAUAAUAAUAAUAAUAAAGUCUUUAUAAAGAAUGCAUCCUUGUAGAAAAAUAUAAGAAAAUAUAUCUUUUAUAACAAUAAUAAGAAAUUCUUUAUAAGGUAAAUAUAAUAGGGGGAAAAUUGUAACUAUAAAUAUCCUAUAUACGAAAUUGUUUUUUUAUAAUUAAAAAAGUCCUUAAAAAAGAAUAUAUAUUUUUAUAUGGAAAAGUGUUAAAUACUUGGUAUAUAUAAUAAUAAAAUAAAUAAAAAUUUAUUUAAAUUUCUUUAUAAAAUGGGAUAAUAUAUUUAAAAAUAUAUGGAAAGAAAAAGGCAAUUAAAGCUUUUGAGUAAUUAAUAAGUAAAUAAAUUAUUUCUUUAUAAAAGUAAUAAUAUAUUAAAAUAAUAUAGAUCUUUGUAAAAAGGUAUAAUAUAUUAAAUAAAUAUGAACAAAAAUGGUUUAGAGAAAAAUGGAAAUAAAAUAAUAAGUAAAUAAGUUAUUUAAAUUUAAUUUUUUAAAUGAAUAGAUAUUUUUUAUAAAAAUAUAUAUUUAAAAAUAUAUAAUAUUUUUAUAAAAAUGAAUAACAUGUAGAAAGAAAAUGUGAGAAAGUGUACUUCAAGAAAAGAAACGUUUAUAAAAAUAUAUUACAAAAAUAUAUGUAAUGUACUAAAGAUAUUAAAAAAAAUUAAUAUGUGGAAGGGUAAAAAAUUAUAAAAAUAUAAAAUGUAAAUGACAUAAUUUUUUUUAAUAUAUUUGCGUUGCCCCUUUCUCUCAUGUAAAUAUCAUCUACUUUAAAUUUAAUUUUAAUUUUAAAAUAUACCUAUAUGAUUAAAAUUAGGGCUUACAAAGUUACAAUAGAUCAAUCUUCCAAUUUCAAUUUCAUCUCAUUUAUUUAUGUAUAUUUCUAUCCUUAUAAAAAAAUUAAAUAAGGCAAGACAUUGUCCUUCCGUAAAAAAGUUGAAAAAUAAAAAAUUGAACUAUUAUUUUAUUUGAGACUAUAUAUAUUCAAGGUACAAUGGGAUAAAGUCAAUCUUUUUAUUUGAGACUAUAUAUAUUCAAGGUACAAUGGGAUAAAGUCAAUCUUUUUAUUUGAUACUAUAUAUAUAUAUAUAUAUAUAUAUAGAGGGUAGGAUGGGAUAAAGUUAAACUUAAACCGAAUUUAAGUCUAUCUCAGGUAUUAAAAAAAAUUCAAAUCCACCCUGAAUCCUUUUAUAUUUAUUUUAAAUCCCUCGUAUUAUGAGUGGAGUAUUAUCCGCAGAAACCUAUCCCCUUGUCAAAAGAAGUCCGAGUCGAAUCAUGUGCCAUGUAAUAUCAAAUAUCUAUGUACGAUAAAUAUUUGUUUUAAGAGAGAGGCUACAAAUGCAAAACAACCCAAUUUAAAGUUGAUUGAGAUGCCUAAAACUGGAUUAGCAAAUCUUAAGGGACCCCUUUUUUGAAAAACAAAAACCCUUUUAAGAUACAAAGGUGGAGAAUAUUUGGUAAUGGGCAUGGAAGUUAGUGAUUAAUGGGAAAUGGCACUAAGGAUGUAAUUAUAGAAGGAGACCAUAAUCUCCAACUUGAAAGCCGCCAAGUAGUUAGGUGCUGUCAACAGUGAGAAAGAAAAUGAUGAGAAAGAUGAAGCGGAAGAGGAGGUGGGAGGCUUCCAAAGGCUAACUUUGCGGACAAGAAGCCAAGCUUGUAAGUUUGAGGGCCCCCUUGAUACGACUUUACCAACCUACCAUGCUCUCCUCUGCCCCCCUUAGGGAGCAUUCUAUUAUUCACCCUCCUCCCUCCUGCCCUUCUUCCCUGCUUUUUUUGGUCUUUCCCUUUUCUUUUCUUUUCUUUUCUUUUCUUUUCUUUCUUUUUUCUUGGGAAAAUUCUUUUUGGAGAUGAUCCGAUGCGCCAAAAUUUUGUUACGUGCUACAUCGUUUUCGCUUUUCAAAGGGUUUAAUAUUUGCCCGAUGAUUGCAGGUGAUGAUGGAAAUCAAAUGAUAAUCAUAGAGGUGAAAGGGGACCAAAGUACUUUUUUUUUAUAUAAAGUUGCAAAUCAUGCCCCAAUUUUAAUCUAUUGUGUUUCAUUUUUGCACUUUUAGUUUGAUGUGCCCCAUCUCUAAUUUUGGAUAAUUCAGGUAAAAUAAAAAGAAUACCCUACUUGUAUGUUAGGGGUAUCAGAUAAAAAUUAUUUUUUUAAAAAAAUUUAAAAUAUUUUUAAUUUUUAAAUGAAUUUUUAUUUUAAUCUCAAAUUUGGGAUAAUUCAGGUAAAAUACAAAGAAUACCCUACUUGUAUGUUAGGGGUAUUAGAUAAAAAAAAAAUUUAAAAAUAUUUAAAAACAUAAAAAAUUUAAAAUAUUUUUAAUUUUUAAAUGAAUUUUUAUUUUAAUUAUUUUAAAAAACUGUUUUCAAAAUUAUUAUUUUUUAAAUUGUUUCAGGAUAUAUUCGGAGGCUGUUACUGUUAGACUCUUGCCAAUGAAAUGUUUUCACUUUUCACACAGGGGUGAAUGAAGAAAAUACAAAAAAAAAAAAAAAAACAAAGGGGGGGGGGAGUGCAAAUACGCUAAAGCAAAGGGCAUCAGUGAAAAUACCUCAAAAUAAGUAAAAUCUCAUGUGUACAGUCCCUUUUGCUUUUUCUUUACCUUUUUCCUGGUUUUUUUCUUUCUUUUCCAUUUUGUUUUUCGUUCUCUUCUAUUGAAAGCAGCGUCACAUAUUUCCUAAAUAAGAAAUCUUACCUGUCAGUUACCACUUUUUAAUUCUUGACAAAAUACAGCAUUUAAAUAAAAUAAAAUUUUCUCAUCUCCUUAAGAUUUAAUGUUAAUUGAUAAUUUAAGGUAGUUUUCAAAAUUUUGUUUAUUUUAUUUGUUAAGGAUAUGUUUGAAAGUGAUUUUAAAAAUGAUUAAAUAUUUGAAAGGAUUUAUUUAUUUAUUUUAAAAUUAAUGUUGGACAAUUAUUUUAAAAAUAUGAAAAAUUACUUAACAUAAUUUAUGGACAAUUACUUAGUGGGUGACUUCCAAAAAUCAUUUUAUUAUUAUAUCACAUAUUACCAAAAACAAUCCUAGUCAAGCAUUAAUUCCAUGUUUGGUUCCUUUUAAAAUAAAAAAAAAUAUUAAAAAAAUAAUUUUUAUAUAUUUAUUGAUUUUUUAUAUGUUUAUUUUUUUAAAAUAAAGAAAAAUAUCUUGUACAUAAAAAAGUAAAUUAUUGAUUUUAUCUAUUUUUUCUAUCUUUUUAUUUCUCUCAAAUUUACGAAAAAGUCAAACGUAGGUUAAGCGAUUCUUUUUAAAAGCAUAUAAACACAAUUAAAAAACAUUGUAAUCAUAAAAAGUAGGAGAUAUUUUUGUUUCAAAAUAAAAAAUAUUAAUAUGGGAAACUCUUUUAGAAUAGGAAAAUGGAAAAUAAUAAGAUUGGAAAUCCUUUUAGGAGAAGGGAGGAAGCAAAAUGAUGAGAAGGUAGGAGGGAGAGGUGAUCGAAGAGGAAGACGGAAGGGCCUACGGGCGAUGUGUCAACAUCAUUGAUGACAUGAAUAGGCCUUUCAUGUUUCACUAAUUGGAAUGUGAAAAUACCAACUUUAUUGGAACAUGGGGGCUGGCCCUUCCAUUCCCACCAUGGCUGUCUUCUUUGUCAUCAUUAUAACCCCAUUUUAAUUCCUUCCUCCUCGUUAUGCCUCAAUCAUAUUCCACAAUAACUGCCCUUGCUUCUCUCUUAAGCACCUCCAAUUUUUUCCCUAACUAAUAAUUUUAAUCACUCAUUUAUUCCCUAAAUUCUAAACAUCCUUCUAGAAGUCAGAUGAGUAAAUGGGCACCCAUGGGUCAGCCCGCUCAUGUUGUAGCCCAGCAUGGGCUGGGCUGAACUAAUCCAAAAGCUAGAGGAAGUCCAACACGAGGCCAUAUAUGAUUUUUCUAAGAUGCAUACCUUUCUCUCUGAAUGUUCUCUUCCUACUGUUACCGCCUUGUUGGGACAACUUCGACUGGGCUGGUUUGGUGCUUAAUUGUGAUCGAACCGUCUCUUCUCGAUGGCCUGGUAGCAUCUGUCACAUAAGGAAGAUCCGAGGGGGGAUAUUAAGAAUUCCCAUCCGACGAUGGAGUCAGGAUUUGAGUAAGGGGCAAGGAGAAAGGAAAGAGAAACUUAGCCAAGAGAGAUGGAGAGAGAGAGAACCUACCUUGUUCAUUGUUGGGCUCCUUUUUAUAAACCCUUCUCCGGGUGUUGAUUAGUGGGCAUGGACUGCUAUGCAUGGUCUCAUAAAUUUGUGCCAGGUUGGAGGUCCAGACGGGUGACCGACAACAUUUAUGAACCGUUGCCGAUGCUAAGCGUCUAGGGCAAGGCACGCCAUUCCGGGAGGCAGAGAUGCAAGUGCGCAUUAUGAUCCGAGAGACGUGGCCGACAUUUUGCGGAGCUGAUCUACACAUGGAGGGUAGGUGUGGAUACGAGUAUGGGUCCCAUACGAAUCCGAGCCUUCACUCUGACUGUUACUAGAUGUUGAUUUAUCAAACAUUCUUAAAAUUAAAAUUUAAAAAUUUAGAAAAAAAAUUAAUAAAAGAAAAAAAUAUUUAAAAAGAUUACUUCUUUGGUAUUAUUUUCAAUUAUUGCCUUUAGUCAAUUUAAAGAUAUUGUUAUAUGGAGAAUUGUUUGAGGAUGUCACUCCUACCAUUUACUCAAGGAGGGCUCUUCGAACAACAAUUGGGGAAGAGAACAUUUGGCACUGGUUUGAAGGGGGCUCUAUCAAGUAGGAAGAGGGCAAUCACUGUCAACUAUCAAGAGAGAAAAAAUUGUGUAGGUUAAAAUCGUAUUAGCCUGUUCUAAAAAUUUUUGAUAACUAAUACCCGUUCAUAGUAACCUUUUUCUCAAUUUUAUGUCGUGAAAAUCAUAUUGUUGUAGGAUGUUUGGUAUAAAUACUGUGAGAAUUGAAAAAUUCCCUAACACCACUAUGGAUCUAGAAGACUUUUGGGACGUGUGACUACUAGGUGGCAAUGUAACUUGCCCUUCAAUGAAUCUUUCUAAAAAUGAGAUUAUUCUUUCAGAUUGCGUUUGCGGGUGUUUUGAGGCCAGUGAGCUGGGUAGGCUGGUGGGCAAUGAAAAAGUGCAAGAGUAGGAAUUGGAGAGAAUUGUAAGGCAUGGGCUUUGGUGCAUCCAAUAUGAGCCAUCACUUAGCUUUCAAUGAAGAAGGUGGUUGUGGACCCGUAUUUUUCACGUGCGUCCCCACUCAAUAGGCGAUACUCAUUUUUAUUGGUGAAAAAUUAGUUUUGGAAAAGUCAGAAUUGCUACUUAUUUUAUUUUAUUUUAAAAUAAAAAAAUAAAACAAGAAAGAAAAUCCUAAAAAAAUGACUUCAUAGUUUUUGGAAAAACAUGUCUUUGAAAAACCUGAGUCUAGGUUUAGGAAUCAGGUUACUUAUUGGGAAGGUAUAUCUAAAAGGUAGUACCCCUCUAAGCCUUACAGAGGUCUCUACUGACUAAGUUAAGGGAAACGUGACAAUGAAUUGGUCGAUUAUAAAUACCUAGGUAGGCUAGGUGAUUUAAAAAAUAGCAUGCCUAACAAGAAAACCAAUCACAAAUCAUAAAGAAUAUUUAGGGUGUGUACUUGGUGUAGACACUCCAUUUUGUCCUCCUAGUACAUGUCCUAUUAGGUAUUUGUUCGGUACUUUACAGUAAUUCCUUGGUGGGCCAUCACUACUCGUGUAGCCUAUCUUUUUUAAGCUACAUUUGAGACUUUGAUUGAGGGAUUUAUCUAACUCUAUUGUGACACUUGGCAACCCUAAAUUAGACUUAGGCUUAUUUAGGUACCUUAGGCCCAUUUAGGCACCCUACACUCAUUUAGGUACACUUGGCCCAUUAGGCACCACCUUAGGCCCACUUAGGUACCUUAGGUCCACUUAGGUAUCCUAGGUCCAUUUAGGUACAUUUGGCCCAUUAGGUACAACCUUAGGCCUAUUUAGGCACCUUAGGUCCAUUUAGAUACACUUGGCCCAUUGGGCACCACCUUAAGCUCACCUAGGCACUUUUCUAAGGUGGUGUUUGUUUUUUUGGCUUUUUGCUGAAAAUCAUUUAGUUUUAGAAUUUAGGUUGUUUGUUUUUUUACUUUUUUAUGACUUAUUAUAAACUUUUUACUAAAUAAAAAAAGCCAAAAUAUAUGGCUUUUUCUAAAUAGAAAAAAUAACACAAUGGUUUUUUUUACUUUUUAAUACUUAAUAGAAAUAAAAUACUACAAAAACAAACAACCUAAUAUUUAAUACUAUUAAGUAUUAAGGUUCUAUUUAGAAUUAAGUAAAAAAACAAACGCCACCUAAGUUUAGUUUUACUUAGAGUUGUUUUCUUGUCUUUAUUUAUUUAUUUAUUUUAUUGAUUGAUUUUAGGAUUAAGUGAGUUUUGACUUAUUUUACAUUAUUUCAUUAUUAUUAUUAUUUGUAUUUUUGUUUAUUUGUUUUAUUUUUAUUUUAGGGUUAAGUGAGUUUUGACUUAUUUUAUAUUAUUUCAUUAUUAUUAUUAUGUGUAUUUUUGUUUAUUUAUUUUAUUUUGAUUUUAGGAUUAAGUGAGUUUUGACUUAUUUUAUAUUAUUUCAUUAUUAUUAUUAUUAUUAUUUGUAUUUUGUAUAUUUAUUUUAUUUUGUGAUUACAUGAAAUGAAUUUUUUGAUUUUUGGUGGUUUGAGUUUGACACUUUGAUUAUUAUUAUAUGUUGCAUUAGUUUAAUUUUUUUUAUUAAAUAUGAGUAAUAUUUAUUUAUUUAUGUAUUAUACCUUUUAUUUAUGUAUUGAUUUUUUUUUUCUUAUUUGCAAAUUUAAUGACUUUUGGAAAUGAGAGUGAAAGGAAUCUUGACUUAAUAUGAGGGGUUUGAGGUCUGCUAGGCCGAGAAAUAGGCCGUUGGAUAUGCACAUGGAGUCCAAGUCAGGAACUCCAUCAAAAGAUGAUGAGAAGUCGAAAGCAUCAUGAAUUGCUAGGAAUGGGAAUUAUCGACCCUUAAAGCGAACAAUGGAGAAUUCCUUGGAGGACUGGGAUCAAUUCGUUGAUAAAUCCCGGGAUGCUUGGCAGUAUGGCAUUCAAAAGAAGCAAAGUUCUGCUAGGGUUGUAGCGAAUAGAGAUUCAUAGCAGUUGGUUUUUGUUGUCCGUAAAUUCUCUUAGUGCCUUCGAGAAGCUUUAGGCAUAAUUUAUUUUUUGUUACUUUUCUGAUGCUUGUUCCUAGUGCUGAAAGCUCUUGAAGCAUUAACUCCUUUUGCUGAUCUUGUGAAUGAAACACAGUUAAUUCGGAACAAGUUCCUAUUGGCUUAUUCAGGAUACUUUUCAUUAGUUGAAAAGAUCAGGGAAAAGAGAACCUGAAGAGACAGUGGCUAAGAUCUCCUGACAUGGUCGUCUCCUGGCUUGGCUUUUUAUACAUGGAUCUGCACCGAGUUUACUGCACGUCCAAUUACAAAUAAUUAAAGGGUUCAAUGUGUGGGUUGACCAGCAUUCUGCCUCCUUGGAUACGUGAGCUGCAACUUUUGCCCUGUGAGUACCCUCCUCAACUCGACAUUGUGUUAUGGCUUUGAUUGAGUAGGAGUUGGUGAGAGCUUCCCAGUUAUGCCCCUAACAUUGUAGUUUCCCUCACACAAUAUAGCUACUGACUCCUUGGAUCUUGAAAUGCUGAUAGGCUUCGUUCAUGUAAAACAAUUCACAUUUAAAAGAUGCAAUGUACAUUCUUGGGAUUGGACAGGUUUAGGUUGACAUCUGAAGAGGCUGCAACAUGCAUACACAUGGAAGGCGACCUCUCCAAAAAAGGAACACGAUAUGCAUGGCAUGGAGAAUAUUUUUGGGAAGGUGACUCAGCAGCACGUGGAUGAUUGUUGGCUCUCUUCGGGCUGGUGAGUUGUCUUCCCAUGUUGGUGGAGUCAACGAGAGGGAAGAGAGAUCUUUGAUUUGGGAAAGGAUUUUGAGGGAAGAAAACACGCCGGUUUGAGGGGAAAUAAAAAUGAUUUUCAGCACGUGGAGGAGAAAAAUGACAGGCUAGUGGAAGAAUUAGUCUCACUUUCGGGGAAGAUACAACAAGCGUUUUAAAAGGGCAUUACGCUGAUUUUGGGUGAGAGAUUCAAUGCUCCAUUAAAAAAAAAAAAAAAAAGGAAGAGGAAGUGAUCACUCAGAUUUUUGUUGUUUAUUGGAUCAAAACAAAAUUUAUAACCUAAUUCACUAUUCUAUAGCAAUUUGUACCCGAUCAAAAAGUGGUUUUAGUACAAACUACUAUAGUAUAGAGGUUUUUAGGUAUCGUCCACAAGAAUGGAUUAUUCUUGGUAAUCAAGCCUUGAAUGAGAGGAGAAGAAAUGAUUGAGAUCAAGUGAAAAUGAUUUGACAAUUCAUGAUAAAAAUUCAAAAUGACAAUGAUUCCAAAUUGAGAGGAAAAUGAAAUGUAAAAUAGAAGAAAAUUAAUAGAAAAUGAAAUUCUCGGAGUUAGGAUUUUCUAGAAAACAAUUUCCAUGGUGAAUAGAUGUUGAGAUCUAACUUUCAUCAAGUUAUAUUGAAAACCUAAAUUUUCAUCUAAACCAAAUUUUGAUUUAGCUUUAGGUCUAGAUCUAAUUUCUCUUCAAAUUAGGUCAUUUAAUCCAAGAGAUCAAUUCAAAUCAUAUAUUCAAUUCAUCUUAAAUUAUCUUCCAAUGAUUCACAUAAUGCAACUAUUCAAUCUCAUCAAAUCUAGCAUUAAAAAUUUGAUGAAUCUACCUAGUUUGCAUUGUAGUAAUCAUUCAAGACAAUUUGAAGAGAAAAAUCCUCAAAUUUCAAUUAAUCAAUCAAUUGGAUCAAAUUGCUUUUGCAAUUCAAGCUCAUUUCUCUAAUUCACCAUAGAUCUUGCCUUUAGAUCCUCUAUCCUCCGAGAAAAAUGAGAUUUAGUAGCUCAUGCUUGGAGAUUUGAUCUCACAAGGCAUGUUUGGCUAGUGAGCAAAUAAGAGAAAAUGAAGGAAAGUAGAAAACUCUAUAGAGAGAAAAUCUGGAAAGAUUUACAAUUAGAAAAAUGUAAAAAAUCCUUAAAAUGAGUAAAUCAAUCUAUUUAUAGGUCAAGGUCAAGUGGAUACUUGGCAUUAUUUAAGAGGUCUUUUAGAGGCUUUUUCACCAAGAAAUCUGGAAAAAAUGCAAUUUCGCAUGAGCUCCAACAAUUUCGCUCGAUUGUGCGGAGUGGAAAAUGCAUCAACACCAAUUUCGCCUUCUUGGAGCAUUUCACAUGAUUGUGUGAAAUUUUCGCAUGGUCAUGCGAAAUCAGUUUUCAGUUUUCCCUUUGAGUUGCAGUCAAAUUUCCUUUUGGUCCAUUUCGCAAGACUGUGCGAAUUUUCCCCAUGUUCAUGCGAAAUGGAAAAACAUAGAUUUCAACUCCUUUUUGUCAUUUCUCCCAUUUCUUUCUUUUGAAUCCACCUCAACCACCUUCAAUUAAGCUCCAAAGCUUGGUCCAAGUGCAUUGCCUCUUCCCCAUCAUCCACAUUGUGUACCCUCCUCAAUUCCAUUUCUUUUUUGUCACUCAAUGCUUAAAAAAUCACUUCAAAAUAUCUCCAAAACUUCACAAAAACCACUAGUAUCUCUUGCAAGGGUAACAAUGUAUUACUUGGGCAUAUUAGACAUAAUUACUACUCAAAAGGUAUGAAACUCAUGAGAAUUAGUAUCUAAAAUGUGUGGUUUUUGAGUAGUAAUCAAGAAGCAACCGCACAGGAAAAGAAAAAAGGGAAAAAUGCAACAUGAGAAAACGACUAGGAGGGAGGAUUAGAGAAGACUUUUGGAAGAUGAUAUGUGGAGAGAUGUUUUAAAGAGGAGGAAGACUGGUCUUGAGAGAUAUUUUGGCCCAAGGUUUAAUGAUAUUGAGAUCGUGAGGUUAUGAGGAAUUCAAGCCAUGAUCGGAAGAAGAUUCAUGCCAUGUUUUAGAAGAGACUUAGGUCAUUUUUAGAAGGGUUUUAGGCUACAAUCUGGAAAGUUUUUGGUCAUAAUCUGGAUGUGCACUUCAGGUCGUGUUCGGGAGAGUAUUCAAUCCAUUUUCUAAGGCAGUUCAAGACGUAUUUUUAGUGAAGGAUAUCGUUGAAAGAUGAUGGAGAGGGGAGCAUGACGAUUAGGAGGUGAGUGAGAUUGAUUGGGAGAGAAGAGAGUUAGGCCGCACCAUAAGAGGCUUCGGGAGACACUACUACAUCAGGGAGCCACACCAUCAAAGGAGAUAGAAAAGGAGGACCGACUUCACUACUCAAGGGUUGGCUUGGCUCGAUCAUUCAUCGAUCACCAUAACAAGAAAACACUAGUAAGGUUGUAUUGAUCAUUGUCAAACCGAAAAUUCUAGAUUUCUAUUUACACUUUCAGCAUCAAUUACACGCUGCAACUUGGAGCAAGCAUAGCUAGCCGGUUUUGGCUCACCACAUCAUCCAUACGGUUGCCACUUUGAGAAGGAAGUAGUCCACACGCCAUUAGAGCCUUCACGGGUGGCACUUCUGGGCACCAUCUCCAUCUCUGUAAAGAGAACACACCACUCCUUUGAAGCAAGAUUCAGUAAGCAUCUCCAUGUAAGGAAAAUCACUCAUACGGUUGCCACUUUGGGAAGCAUACAACCCACACACCCAUUCGGCUAGGCAACCACGCACCAUUACAUGCUGCAACCUGGAGUACGCAUAGCCAACUAGUUUUGGCUCACCACAUCAUCCACACGACUGUCACUGGGAGUAGGAAGCAGUCCACGCACCAAUAGAGCCUUCACGGGUGGCACUUCAUGGCACCAUCUCCAUCCAUGUCAAGAGAACACACCACUCAUUUGAAGCAAGAUUCAACAAGCAUCCCCACGUAAGGAAAAUCACUCACACGACUACCGCUUUGGGAAACAUACAACCCACACACCUAUCCAACUGGGUAAGUUAUUAUUCUUUUAUAUUUUUUUUAAUUAGUCAACACAAUUAAUACCAUGUGUUAAAGAUUUUCUUGGAAUUUACUAUAGUACAUUUGUAAGUCAUCAUUAAAUUUGAGUUAUAUUUUAUUUAUCAAUGUGUUAUCUAUUUAUCCAUUCGGUAAUAAGAUUGAUUCUAUAGGUUAGAGAUUUAGUUUUAAAAAUUUGUUUUGGUUAGUUUUUAAUUUACCUUUAGGUUUAAGCCCUCUUAUAAAAUUUUAGUUCGUUAAAAUAAUUGAUCAUAUGUGUUAAGGAUUUGAUUUUAGAUUUGCCCUAAUUAGUGUUCAAUUCAUUUUAAGCUUAGAGUUCAUUUUAGUAAUGUAAGUUUAUUUAGAAAAUUGAUUCCAUGAAUUCGUAUUUUGUUUUUAAUUAUAUUUAUUUAUUUAUGUGUUAUCUAUUUAUCCAAUUUUAAAUAAAAUUGAUUCUAUAGGUUAGAGAUUUAGUUUUAAAAAUCUGUUUUGGUUAGUUUUUAAUUUAACUUUAGGUUUAAGCGCUCUUAUAAAAUUUUAAUUCGUUAAAAUAAUUGAUCAUAUGUGUUAAGGAUUUGAUUUUAGAUUUGCCUUAAUUAGUGUUUAAUUCAUUUUAAGCUUAGAUUUCAUUUUAGUAAUGUAAGUUUAUUUAGAAAAUUGAUUCCAUGAAUUCAUAUUUUUUUUUUUUUUUUAGUUUGCUUUCAUUUAAUUUGAUUCAUUUCAAUUAUUUUAGGUUGCUUUUAUAAUUUUAGGUCAUUAAAAAAAUCAAGUCUAUAUUUGAGAGUUCAUGCCUUUAGUUUACUUUGAUUUAGAUUCACUCAUCUAUUCAGUUUAGGUAUUUUUUAUAAUAUUAGUUCAUUAAUAAAAUUAAUUCUAUGAUUGAAAAUUCAUGUUUGCCUUGAUUUAGUUUGCUCCAUAUUAAUUAGUCUAGAUGUGUUUGCGUAUUUAAUUGAUCAUAUGCUAGUUCUUGAUUGCUAUUCUCAAUUGAUGUGCUUCUUGAAUACUAGUCAUUAAUUUUUGGUGAAUGUCUCAUUAGCUUAUUUGAUCUAAGUUCAAAUAGUUUAUUACUUUGAUAGUCUCUUGUAAAAUUUACUUUUCAGAGGCCAUCGGAAAAUAGUAAAGAUUGACCUCCAUUCUCACCACUUCAAUUUUCUCUAUUGUCAAAAAUUCUACAUUAUGAUUUUGUUCUCUUUUGUUUUGCUUGGUAUUUUGUUUCUUAUGUUCUGUUGUUUUCAAAUUAAUUUAUUUUAUUUUAAAAUAAAAAUACUUCUCUCAAAAGAUCCCUUUAAAAAUCUAUUUUUUUUAUAAAAAAAAUAUUCAUUUAGAGUCUUUUGAAUCAAAAUCUCAUUUUCUUAAAUAAUAUGCAACCAUGUUUUGAUCGGUUCGCAUCUUUCUCAGUUUUCAAUAAAAAUUAUGGUUUUAAGUAAGACACGAAUCCAAGCUUGUGGUCCAAAAUAAAUGGGAUAAUUCUAGGUUAGAUUUGUGUGUAUCAUUUGGGGAAUUGGUGAAACCCCUACAUAAAAUUAUUUUUAAAAAAACUCAUCUUUGCUGCCACAUUUGCUACUUGUUGCAAUCAUAUCUAUUUUUUUUAGGAAUUAUAUACAAGAUGUAUGUAAUAAUUUUUUAUUUCGUAUACUUUGAUAAUUUUUGCUAUGUUAAUUUGAUAACAAACAUGCUAGGAUUUCUUUAUUUUAUUAUUUAUUAUCUAACCCCUCAUGUCUUGUGGAAGCACGUUAUAAGUUACCUAUGCUAUUUAGGUAUAUUUCUUACCUUCGUAUCUUAAUUCCAUAAAUUAUGUAUUUGUUUUAUAUAUGAUUGUUAUGUAUUGCUUCGUAUGCGAUUCUCAACAUGUUCAACAUAUCUUUUUGAUUGUUUGUUUAGCUUGCCAUGUUUGAUUAAGAGACUAGGGUAAAACAAAUGUUGUGUGUUAUAUUUCUAUACUAACUUUGAUGUUUUGUGAUAGUGCUUGAGAAGUAGUUCAGGUACACACCCUAAAUCUCCUUUAUGAUUGUGAUUGGUUUUCUUGUUUGACAUGUUAUUUUUUGAAAUCACCUAGCCUACUUAGGUGUCUAUAAUCAACCAAUUAAUCGUCAUAUUUCCCUCAACUUAGUUAGUAGAGACCUUUAUAGGGCUUAGAGAGGUGCUACCUUUUAGAGGUACUUUCCUAAUAGAUAACCUAAUCCUCGGACCUAGACUCGGGUUUUUCAAAGACACGCUUUUCCAAAAAUUAUGGAGUCACCUUUUAGGGUUUUCUUUCUUAUUUUAUUUUCCAUUUUAAAAAAUAAAAUAAAAUAAGUGGCGACUCCAACUUUUCCAAAAUAAAUUUUUCAUCAACAAAAGUGAGUCUCGCUGAUCGAGUGGGGACGCACGUGAAAAAUAUGGGUCCACACCUGGACUGCUUCUUAAGCGCUAUCAUAAAACAUCAAUAGUUAGUUUGGAAAAUAAAGCACACAUGUAUUUUACUCUAGUAUCUUAAUCAAACAUGGCAAGCUAAACAAACAAUAAAAAAGAUAUGCUGAACAGGUUGAGAAUCGCAUAUGAGGCAAUACAUAACGAUCAUGUAUAAAACAAUAUAUAAUUUAUGGAAUUAAGAUAUGAAGGUAAGAAGCAUACCUGAAUAGCAUAGGUAACUUGUAACGUGCUUCUAUAAGACAUGAGGGGUUAGAUAAUAAAUAAUAAAAUAAAGAAAUCCUAGAAUGCUUGGUAUCUAAUUAGCAUAGCAAAAAUGACCAAAGUAUACGAAAUAAUCAAUUAUCACAUACAUUUUGUAUAUAAGUCCUAAAAAAAAAAAAAGAUAGAUAUGAUUACAACAAGUAGCAAAUGUGACAACAAAGAUGAGUUUUGAAAAAUUUUCUUAUGUAGGGGUUCCACCAAUUCCCCAAUUGAUAUACACAAAUCUAGCCUAGAAUUAUCCCAUUUAUUUGGGAACACAAACUUAGAUUCAUGUCUUACUCAAAACCAAAACUUUUAUUGAAAAUCGAUCAAAACAUGGUUGCAUAUUAUUUAAGAAAAUGAGAUUUCGAUUCUAAGGACACUAAAUGAAUUUUUGAAAUGCAUUUUAAUGAGGAACAUUUUGAGAAAAGGUUUCUUUUUAAAAGGAAAGAAAUAAUUUACAAACGACAAUACUCAAGGAUCAAACAUAGGCAACCCAGAAGAAAAUGAAAUCACAAAAUAAAACUUUAAACAACCAAGCCGACUAAAGUGGUGAGAGUAAGGCCAACCUUCAUGGGUUUCCAGUGGCUUUCAAAAAAAGGAUUUGACCAAUAGUCACUAAGGCAACAAACUAAUGGCUUUCAAAUCAAAUAAACUAACAAAAAUAUUAACCAAAACUAACAUAUAGAAUUCAAAAAAGCGCAUAAACUAAGAUAAAAACCAAUCAAGGAUUAAGACCAACAAACUUAACAUAUGGAGAUAAUAACAUGGGAUCAAUUAAAGUAAAUUAACACUCAAACAAAAUAUGAUGAGUCAAAAACCAAAGUUUAACGAACUUGAAAAUAUGAAAACAAUAAUAGGUAAUUAACUAGAUUGAUUAGCUAAAAUUCCAGAAAGCUCAAACUAAAUAUUAAUAGAUCAAAAUUAAAAUUACUAAACUUAAAACACGAAAACAAUAAUAUGUGAUUAACUAAAUUAACUAACUAAAAUUGUAAUCAACUAGAAAAUUGAAUAUUAAUGGAUUAAAAUCAGAAUUAACAAAAUCGGAAACACAUAAACACAAACACGAGAUACACUAAAUUAAUUGACUAAACAUUCCUAAACAAAUUUUUAUUUUUUAUUCACUCAACAAGAAUUAAAUAAAAAAAUAUCUAACUUACCUUUUUCAAUAAUGCAUGGGGGCUGCUUCGAAGUCCAAAGGUGCAGGCCGUUUUCCUCUCCAAAGUGGAUGACGAUUAGUUCUUUCCAUUUUUUUUUAUGAUAAAUGCGUGCUGCUCCUCCUUUUGACUCAUGGAGAAAUUCCCUUUGUGCCAAACUUAUAUUCGCAUGUGUACAUUGCACAUCUCCAUUCCUAGGCAUUGGCAACACCCACAACGUCGCAUUCUUGAACUCAAAACCACAGUAGGUUGGCGGCUUGUAGCAACUCGACUGGAUUGCAGACAGAUUCUUCCUAUAGAAUGCAACAACAUUGUCAUUUAUCUCUUUCUUGAGACGACUGCAAAUGUCAGUAUCCAUCAAACAACUCUUGAUCCGACCCCAAUUCUUGUCAUUCGCCAAAUGAUUCUGGAGCUAGUUAGAGUAAUCCCCAAGUUUGUACUCCUUAUACCCUCAGUUCGAUAUCACUUGACCCACGCCCUUGUUGGUGACCACGAGCAUGAAUAUGGUGAAGCACAAGAGCCCCAUAAUCAUAAAAAAAUUACAAAUAGGUAUAUCCACAACAGGAAGCUGACCUUGCACGUUGACCCGACCAAUUCGCACAAUGAAACCAUAAACAGAAACGCACCCAACACCAGAAGCGGUGUUUGUAGAAACUUCUGGCAGUGGGUUUCGCCAAGAAUGUGAAAAUAAAUGCCGACGGCCAGGGAGGCGACAACGAUGAGCAUGGUGAGGAUGUUGAGGAUUGCGAUCAAAACGUUGCUAAAAUGCACCAUCUUUUAUGAAUUUCCUAUGUGAUUCUUUUGCGUUUUUGUCACCGAAAUUUUUAGCGAUGCUCCCCUGGAAGAAAAAUCUUUGAUGACUGAUCCCCUAUCAAUGGAAGGGAAGUCCACCUGGUCAUGUGCUCGUCUCCUCCAAGAUCAACAAUGGCGCGGUUGUUUGUGAGGUAUUGUGGGUUGUUCCCUCUUUUACCAUGUGCAUGUAGAUGGAGAAGAAAAAUUUCUGUUGAUAGCGUGUUCCUAGAGAAAAAUCCUUCAUUUCGUUAUACGUGAUGUCCUCUUCUCAUCAAUAUUCUAGUACAUAGUGUUCAUCCAUAAAAUUUCUAAGAGGAAAGUCUGACUUGCUAGUAGUUUAUUCUCUACAUAAAAUCUAUUAGUGUUCCUCCAAAAACCUAAUACUCUCCACCAUUAAUAGACCGACCACUCAUCAAACAUGCCUAUGCACAAUAUGAUUUUCUCUGUAAAUAAUCCUGUUAUUCUCUACCAUUAACAACCUUGCACUCCUUUUCUCCUUAUUUUGGUGGUGCAUGAUGGAUUCGAAUUUCAAUGGUGCGUGUUUAAGAUUUUUGCAGGCGACUCCCAUUGAUAAUACGUGAUAUCAUCUCCUAAUCAAUAGGGUCUUCGUCAACAUGGAUGACUCCCCUCUUUUCUUCUUUCUCCAAUUUUUCCCCCCAAAAAACAAUUCUCAAAUUUUCAAACUCCUCUCAAAACCUUCCAAGGAGAGUCCCACUUUCCUUAAAUUCCAAUGGUAAGUUUCCUUGCAAAAGCAUGAAGUUUAUUAAAUUAAAUAAUUGAAUGAACAAAUAAAUAAGUAAAUAAAUUAGAAAAGAUAAAACAAUAAUAAAUAAAUAAGUUAAUUAAAAAAAUAAGAAAAUAAUAUAAAAAAGAAGAUAACUAAUAAAAAUAAACAAGUGAUUGAUAAUAAUAAUAAUAAAAAUAAAUAAAUAAAUAAAUAAAAACUAAGCCACACAAACCAUGCAACAAUGCAAGUCAUACAAGUCACGCUAAAAAUGUCUAAUAGGACCAGUGUGCCUAAGUGGACCUAGUGAGUCUUAAGGGGCUUAGGGAUGUCCAAAUGGGUCUAAGUAACCUAAAUGAGCCUAAGUGAACCUAGAUGGACCUAAGGUGGUACUUAAUGGGCCAAGUGUACCUAAGUGAGCCUAAGGUGUUUUAGACAGUGCCUAAGUCUAAAUUAGGGCUGCCAAGGGUCAUAAUGAGGUUAAAUAAAUUUCUCAAUCAGAGUUUCCAAAGUGGCUCAUAAAAGAUAAGCUAUAUGAGUAAUAAUGGGCUAGUAGAGAAUUGUUGUAAAGUACUAAAUGAACACAGAAUAGGACAUGUCCUAGAAGGACAAAAUGGAGGGUCUAUAGUGGUGUUGAUGCUAGAAUGGAUAGUAGAAAUACCAGUGCCUCCCAUUGAGACUUCUUUCUUUACUGCUCCAUUUGAGAUAGUUUACCCCCCUAUGCCUUGGAGCCUUGGGGCCUUGGGGCCUUGGAUCCAUGGAGCCUUGGAGCCGUGGAGCUGUGGAGCCUUGGACCUAGUUAUCACUCAUUCAAAAACCCAGUGAUGGAUAUUUUGAACUCCUGUUAUUUCUUCUUUUUAGUUGUAAAAGUAUAAAAAGUGUUAUCUUAUGAAGACUCUCUACGGUCCAUUUUUUUUAAAUGUAGUCUCCACUCAUGUACUUAAACUGAAUGAGUAGGGAUGCCAAGUAAAUCUAUUAGUUUGGAAUGUCGCACAGAUUUGAUCAAACUUCAACAUAUUUAACAUUCGACAAACAAAACAUAACCUAAUACCAAUAAAGAAAAACCGACGACAUAAUUGAGAAGCUAGAUAAGAGAAUCUAUUUUUCAUCAACAACUAAAAAUAAUUAAUUUAACCCUAAAAAUCUUUAGUUUGCUUCAACCUUAAAUAGACUUAACAAGUUUAAGAGUUGUUGUCACUAUGCCGCCCUAAGAAAUAUGAUAUCUUUUGGAGCAAGAUUUCUCAAUAACCCUUCUUUAGCUUGUCACUCAUUUGCUGCAAGGUCUGGUGCCAACUAUAGCUUUUGAGGGUAAUAAUUAGUUCUUGUCCAUCCAAAUACAUUUCCUUGCUAUGCUACCAAGUGCGUGAGUCUUUCCCUAAUGAUAUUGCAAGUUCUUGCAUUCCUCGUAUCUGGCUUCUUGUCUAGAUCAUCUCACAAUAAUGAGAUUGAUCCCAUCUGAAGUGAACUCGAAAAACUCUGUAUAUUAGAUAAUGCGAGCAAUUCAAAUUUAAGACUUUGACAUGAGAUCCAUCCUUUUAGAGACACGAGUCUUGGUAUCUUUUAAAGACAAAUCUCGUUUACUAGUAAAUACAAAAUCUAGACAAAACUCGUCUAUAAGAAAAUACAAAACUUGGUUCAUGAAAAACAUAAGAAUAUAUAUAUUUUUAUUAUUGUUAUUGAUUCUCCACCAAAAACAUUACAUAUGACAUAAUAAAACCCUAUAUAAAUAACUGAAUAUGGAACUAGAGUUUUUUCAAAGACACAACACUUGACAUUUUUUGUGGGAAUCAAGAAGCAAAAGCAUGGUUUAAAUAAUGAUUUCAAGAGAACAAUGAGAAAAUAUUCCAAUGAUAGGGAAUAACAAUUAUUGCAACUUGAGAGAAGAUUGGAUGAGUAACAAAGGGAACAUGAGAAGCGAAUUGAAAGAGCUCUAGUUAGCUUUGAAAACUUGUCAUAGGAAAACUAGAUUCUACAAGUAACAACUAUGAUUGGCAAUACACCCUGAUUCUUGUAUAAUUCGUGGACCCUCAACCUUUUUUUUAUUAGCUACACUCAUUGAAGAGCACACUAGAGCAACCAAGUUGACUUGUAUACCCAAACUAGACUUUAGACCAAAGCAAUCAAUUCCACCACUGAGUGACAAAAGUUUGUAUUUGAACACCGAGUAAGCUAGUGAUAGUUCCACAUGAACCAUUUUGCAUAUCCUAGAUUGCAAGUCAAUUAAUAUAUUUGAAUGAGAUGAUCAAACAUGUAGUAUGACGUUCAAAAUAUUAGAUGACAUGGUUGCAACAACAUAUGUGUUUUGGUAUUUUUUUUCAAUGAUCCUUCCUGAUAAGUGUUGCAAAGAAAGAGAAAGAAAAGAAAAAAGAGAAAUUUACAAAACAAUUUCAUGCCUUACCCUUUCAUUCAAUACUAUGAUAUUUUCAUAUUUAUACAUAGUUUUGACAAUUGUAAAAUAUUCAUUUUCUAACAAACAUAUAACACCUUAACAACUCUAAAUGUUCCCUACUUAUCCUACAUACAACACCUAUUUAGGAGUUUCUUAAAGUGGGUUUCAUGUAACUUUGUUACUGCAUGUGAUCUUCAGUUAAAGACGCUGAAAACAUCCCUUUGACAUGCCCCUUCAAGCUAAAUGUGGACUCUUUUGAAACGGUUGUUAAGGAACCAUUUUCGACUUUGUCUUGGAUGGAUAUGUUAUGCCCCUUCAAAUGUGAAAGAGAGGUUGCAUGAAGUUUGUUGCGAAAAUACUAGUAGUGUUGGACAUGGAGUAGUUUAGUGAUUAUAUUUACCACUUGCUCAAGAGAGGGAACAUGUUGAAUGGAGAGUUGACGUAUGGUUUAAGACCUUUUCAUGAAUGAAAUGAACGCCAAGCUCGAUAUGUUUUGUGUGAGCACGGAACACAGGAUUGUUGGCAAAGGCAAUAACACCAUGGUUAUCACACCACAAUACUGGAGGGUGUGGAGGAGAAAUAUGGAGCUUUUCAAGUAAGGAUUGAACCUAGGUGAGUGCUACUGUUGUAGUUGCAAUACAACGAUAUUUAGUCUUUGUAGAAGAAUGGGAAACUGUGGUUUACUUCUUAGCACUCCAAGUGAUAAGGUUGGACCCCAAGAACACAUAAUAUCCACUAGUUGAUUUGCAGUCAUCAAUAUUGGAAGCCCAAUCUGCAUUAGAGAAUGCUAUUAAUUUGAGAGAAGAAUGUUAGUUAAAGAGGAGUCUAUGAUCAUUGGUGCCUCUUAAGUAACGAAUGAUGCAUUUCACGGCUUUCCAAUAGGGUUCUAGGGGGUGUUGCAUGAAUUGAGAAAACCGGUUGACAACAUAUGUGAUCUUUGGACGAGUAAUGCUGGCGUAUUGAAGGCUGCCAACAAUGCAACAAUAGAGGUAAGGAUCUUCAAAAAGAGUCCCGACAUAUGCUAAAAGAGAGACGUCGUUAACUAUGGAUGUCGGUGUUGGCUUAGCUCCAUCCAUACGAGCUUUUUGAAGGAUUUCAGUGAUGUAUUUGUGUUGUGAUAAAAGAACACCUUGAAGAGUGUUAUUUAGUUCAUGUCCAAGGAAAUAGGAUGGGUUGCCAAGUUUUUUCAAGCCAAACAAAGCUUGUAGUUGAUGGACAAAUUGCUGCACUUAAGUGGGAGAGCUUUCUGUGGUGAGAACAUCAUCCACAUAGAUAAGUAUAUAGAGAGAGUGACUAGCCUCAAACUUAAGGGAAGAAAGCUAUCAACUUUGGAAGAAUGAGAACCAAGUUGAUGUAGUAGCAAGUGGAGACGUUCAAACUAUGCCCUAGGGUCUUGCUUAAGGCCAUACAAAGCACGAUGAAGCUUGCAGACCCAAUGAGGAUGAGUAGUGUUAAUGAAGCCAGGAAGUUAGGUCAUUUAGAUGUUUUCCUUGAAAAUGCCAUUGAGCAAUGCAUUGUUAAAAUCAAGUUGUCUCAUAGCCUAGUUAUUGGAGAUGGUAAGAGUGAGCACCACUUGAAUGGUAGUAGGUUUGAUGACAGGACUAUAGGUAUCAUGAAAAUCGAAACCCGGAACCUGGUGGAACUCUUUGGCCACCAGCCUGGCCUUAUACUUGUUCACAGAACCAUUAGAGUUGUGUUUGUUGGGAACCUUGGAUUACUCCGUUCCCAUGCCUUGGAUUGUGUAGGGUGCAUACAAAUUUAUCAUAAUCUCUCCAAAUCUAUCACAACGGAUAAACAUGUAUUCAAAAUAAUAUAAAUACCAUAGAAAACAUAGAUCUAGAGAAUAAAGCCACAUACAUUUGAUUUAGAUGUUCCCAUAUCAAUUCCAAUUGAUGUAGAUAACUCUAAAGUCAUAAUGGAUCUCGCAAACACCAUGAUCUUCUAUCCGUUGACUUUUCCUUGUGUCUAGCCACUGAGAUAGUAGAGAUCUCAAGGAUGGAGGUUAGGGUUCUCUCUCUAGACUGAAGGGAAGAAUGACAAGAUUUGGAAACCCUAACCCCUAAAGGGUUAUUUAUAGGUUUCCUAUUAGGCUUAUGGGUAACUUAAUCUAGGUUCAAAAGGUUGUUAAUUGAUUAAUUAACCAUACAAGACCUAAUUAAUUAACUAAUCUAGUCCAGAGAUACCAUUCACUUAUCCUUGUGUAACAUUGUGUACAUUUCGCCUAGAUGAGCAUUUCAUCUUGUUGAAGAAUAAUCUUGUAAACAUUUUAAUACGAUUAAUGUAUUCAUUGUCAGCCUAAUAAAAUUAUUUAUUUUUAUUAUUAUUCUUUAUUAAUUGUUAUUGUAAUUUAUUUAUUUAUUAUAUAUUAUUAUUCACUAAUGAUUCAGAUUUUCUUUUCAAUGGGCACAGACAAGUAGGAAGAAAUAGAGAGAGAAACAAGAUGCAACCCGCCAAAGAUGAGAAUCAAGAAAAACUCCUAAGCAAUCCUCUUUCAAGCAAAGAACAAUUAUUUAUUUAUUUAUUAUUAUUAUUAGUAUUAUUUGUUUCCAACAGUGACCUAACAGGCAAGCAUACCUGCCAUGGCAAAGGAAUGAUCACUAAGGACAUAAAAAACAUAGACUUCACACAUACAAAAAAGACAUGCGAUCUUAUGCACUCUAGUUAUGAGUAAGAGAACACAGUUCACCGACUCUGAGACCCCGCUAGUUCCAAGUCUCUAUUUAUUCUUUCGGUUGUAUCCCUUUCUGUUGAGAUAUUAGGAAUGCUUUCCUUAUAUCAUUCUUUCCUUAUAUCAUUUAGUGUUGAGAUAUUAGGAAUGUUUAGAUAUUAGGAAAGUUGAGAUAUUAGGAAUAUUGAGAUACUAGGAAUAUUGAGAUAUUAGGAAUAUUGAGAUAUUAGGAAAGUUGAGAUAUUAGGAUAUUAGUUGUUAUUUCGUUAUAUCAUUCUUUCCUUGUAUCAUUCUUUCCCAUUCUUAGAAUGGUGAUUACCCUCUAUAUAUACUCUGUACAUAAACGAAUGAAAGUAUGAAUGAAAAAAACUACCAUUUAUCAAUUUGAAGAUGGUAUUAGAGCCAUGGAACUGAAAUCUUGGAUAUUUUGUUGCUAUGGUAGUCCGACAGCGAUCAACUAUCCUAAGACAAGCCCUAAUAUUGAUAAGUCAACCUUCAAAUGCACUCACUUCAAUAAGACUGGUCCCACCAGUCUGGAUAUCCCACAAUUUCAAAGCAACGACUCUUGGUAUGACCAGGAAAACAAUAAGGAACUGAGGGUUUGAACCAUGGACCUUUAGAUCAUGUUUAGGCUAUCAACACUUUGUUAUUAAUUAUAAUAAUCGUGAUCAACGGAAAAAGAAUCCCAAGAAAACCUCGACUGCAACUGUUGCCGAAAUAAAAACAGAGGCUAAUGUUGCUGAGAAAGCCUCUACAUUGGUAGCCGCUACUGAUCAUGGUGGUAAGUUUUUAAAUACUUUUACACCUGUUAUUAAUAGUGCAUGGAUAAUUGAUUCUGGUGCUACAAAUCAUAUGACUUUUGAUUCUAGACAGGUUUCACCCCUUAGACCUUCUUCACAAAAAAUUGUUUCCACAGCCAAUGGUAACACAACCCCAAUCAUUGGGGAAGGAUCCUUAACUCUUACUGAUACUUUGAAUUUGGAUUCUGUUUUAGUUGUUCCAUUUUUAGAUUACAAUCUUUUGUCAGUUUCUCAAAUCACUACAGCCUUAUCUUGUAUUGUCAUUUUUUGGCCUGAAUUUUGUGUGAUUAAGGACAUCCAAACAAGACAGACGAUUGGUUGUGGUAUUAAACGGGGAAAACUCUAUUACUUGGACUUGCAAUCAAAGGAUUCAAAUAAGUUGCAACAAGCCUUGAUGGCAGAUGGAUCUGAAGGGGAGAAGAAAAAGUUUGAAAUUUGGUUGUGGCAUCGACGUCUGGGAUAUGCUUCCUUUGGUUAUUUAAAAAAAUUGUUUCCUAGUUUGUUUGCAAAGAGUAAUAUUUCUGGUUUCCGUUGUGAUAUUUGUGAAUUGGCUAAAAACCAUCGUGCUUCGUUUCCAUUAAUUUUGAAUAAAAGUCCGUUUCCUUUUAUGGUUAAACAUUCUGAUGUUUGGGGCCCAUCCAAAGUCCCAACUUUGAGUGGCUCACAUUGGUUUGUUACUUUUAUUGAUGAUUGUACCAGAAUGACAUGGUUAUGCUUGAUGAAGACCAAAGAUGAAGUGAACUUGUUGUUUCAAAAAUUUCAUAAAAUGAUUGAAACUCAGUACAAUGCAAAGGUUCGGGUUCUGCGUAGUGAUAAUGGUGGAGAAUAUCAAAGUUCUAAUCUUCAAAAGUAUUUGGAAGGACAUGACAUCAUUCAUCAGACUACUUGUUCCAAUACACCCCAACAAAAUGGAGUCGUUGAACGAAAAAAUCGACACUUGUUAGAGGUUGUUCGUGCUUCCUUGAUAGCAGCAAAAACACCGAUAUCUUAUUGGGGAGAAGCAAUCACAUCUGCCGCAUACUUGAUCAAUCGGGUACCUUCUAGCUCAAUUAACUUUCAAACACCUCUCCAAGCUCUUACUAAUGUCGUAGUUGCCCCAACCAUCCCAAAUCUACCUCCUCGUGUUUUUGGUUGCAUGGCAUUUGUGCAUCUACACAAGCACCAACGCACCAAGUUAACUUCUCAUGCAUUGCAAUGUGUGUUUGUUGGAUAUGCAUUGCACAAAAAGGGAUAUCGAUGUUACCAUCCUUCAACUCGACAAAUGUAUAUUACAAUGGAUNNNNNNNNNNNNNNNNNNNNNNNNNNNNNNNNNNNNNNNNNNNNNNNNNNNNNNNNNNNNNNNNNNNNNNNNNNNNNNNNNNNNNNNNNNNNNNNNNNNNNNNNNNNNNNNNNNNNNNNNNNNNNNNNNNNNNNNNNNNNNNNNNNNNNNNNNNNNNNNNNNNNNNNNNNNNNNNNNNNNNNNNNNNNNNNNNNNNNNNNNNNNNNNNNNNNNNNNNNNNNNNNNNNNNNNNNNNNNNNNNNNNNNNNNNNNNNNNNNNNNNNNNNNNNNNNNNNNNNNNNNNNNNNNNNNNNNNNNNNNNNNNNNNNNNNNNNNNNNNNNNNNNNNNNNNNNNNNNNNNNNNNNNNNNNNNNNNNNNNNNNNNNNNNNNNNNNNNNNNNNNNNNNNNNNNNNNNNNNNNNNNNNNNNNNNNNNNNNNNNNNNNNNNNNNNNNNNNNNNNNNNNNNNNNNNNNNNNNNNNNNNNNNNNNNNNNNNNNNNNNNNNNNNNNNNNNNNNNNNNNNNNNNNNNNNNNNNNNNNNNNNNNNNNNNNNNNNNNNNNNNNNNNNNNNNNNNNNNNNNNNNNNNNNNNNNNNNNNNNNNNNNNNNNNNNNNNNNNNNNNNNNNNNNNNNNNNNNNNNNNNNNNNNNNNNNNNNNNNNNNNNNNNNNNNNNNNNNNNNNNNNNNNNNNNNNNNNNNNNNNNNNNNNNNNNNNNNNNNNNNNNNNNNNNNNNNNNNNNNNNNNNNNNNNNNNNNNNNNNNNNNNNNNNNNNNNNNNNNNNNNNNNNNNNNNNNNNNNNNNNNNNNNNNNNNNNNNNNNNNNNNNNNNNNNNNNNNNNNNNNNNAUCAAUUAUCUACUGUAUCUAUUCCUAACAGUGUGCAGGAAGCCUUAGCUGAUCCAAGGUGGAAAGCAGCCAUGAAUGAAGAGAUGAAAUCAUUGCAGAAGAAUGAAACAUGGGAACUCGUAGAAUGUCCACCAGAAAAGAAGUCAGUUGGGUGUCGUUGGAUCUAUACUGUGAAGUACAAGGCAGAUGGUAGUAUUGAACGAUUUAAAGCAAGACUGGUAGCAAAAGGGUACACUCAAACUUAUGGAAUUGACUACACAGAGACAUUUGCACCUGUAGCUAAGAUCAACACAAUUCGAGUAUUAUUGUCUUUAGCUGCAAACCUAGAUUGGCCAUUACAACAAUUCGAUGUGAAAAAUGCCUUUCUGCAUGGCGAGUUAUCUGAAGAAGUAUAUAUGGAUCUUCCACCAGGAUGCAUGGUGUCAGAAAAGCAAUGUCAGAAGGUGUGCAAAUUGAAGAAGUCAUUGUAUGGGUUGAAGCAAUCCCCGAGAGCAUGGUUUGGAAGGUUCACAAAGUCAAUGAGAGCUUUUGGCUAUCGUCAAAGUAAUUCAGAUCACACUUUAUUCCUAAAAAAGCAACAUGGUAAGAUUACGGCACUCAUCGUGUAUGUGGAUGACAUGGUAGUUACAGGAAAUGAUCCUGAAGAAAGAAAAGCUCUGCAAAAUUAUCUAUCUAGAGAAUUCGAAAUGNNNNNNNNNNNNNNNNNNNNNNNNNNNNNNNNNNNNNNNNNNNNNNNNNNNNNNNNNNNNNNNNNNNNNNNNNNNNNNNNNNNNNNNNNNNNNNNNNNNNGAAAAGCUCUGCAAAAUUAUCUAUCUAGAGAAUUCGAAAUGAUAUGAUCUAGGUCUUCUGAAAUACUUUCUUGGGAUUGAAGUUUCUCGAUCAAGUAAAGGAAUUUUUCUGUCUCAAAGAAAGUAUGCCUUAGAUCUUUUACAGGAGACUGGAAUGUCGGGAUGUCAACCUGUUAAUACACCGAUAGAAGAAGGUCUGAAAUUGUGUGUUGAACCUAAUCAAGUAUCAACCGAUAAGGGAAGAUACCAGAGACUUGUGGGGAGAUUAAUGUACUUAGCUCAUACAAGAUCAGAUCUUGCUUAUGCAUUGAGUGUAGUGAGUCAAUACAUGCAUAAUCCUGGAGAGCAACAUAUGAAUGCAGUCAUGCGUAUUUUGAGGUAUUUGAAGAAUGCUCCUGGGAAGGGAAUUUUGUUCGCUAAAAAUGUUGAUCAUCAGAGUAUAGAAGUAUAUACUGAUGCUGAUUGGGCCGGUGCAGUGGAUGAUAGGCGAUCUACAUCUGGUUACUUUACCUUUGUAGGUGGUAAUCUUGUGACAUGGAAAAGUAAGAAGCAGAAUGUCGUCGCUCGUUCAAGUGCAGAAGCGGAAUUUAGAGGUAUGACUUUAGGACUUUGUGAGGCAUUAUGGCUAAGACUCCUCUUACAGGAUUUAGGUUACCUAUCUAGGUAACCAAUCCGAUUGUUUUGUGACAAUAAAGCCGCAUGUGACAUUGCUCAUAAUCCAGUACAACAUGAUCGUACAAAGCAUGUCGAGGUGGAUAGAUUCUUCAUUAAGGAAAAGUUGGAUGAUAAGAUUGUGGAAUUGCCUAAGAUUCGAUCAGAAGAUCAAUUGGCCGAUAUCCUUACCAAAGCUGUCUCAAGUCAAGUGUUCUCAAAAUUUUUAGACAAGUUGGGCAUGUGUGACAUCUAUGCACCAACUUGAGGGGAAGUGUUGAGAUAUUAGGAAUGCUUUCCUUAUAUCAUUCUUUCCUUAUAUCAUUUAGUGUUGAGAUAUUUGGAAUGUUUAGAUAUUAGGAAAGUUGAGAUAUUAUGAAUAUUGAGAUAUUAGAAAUAUUGAGAUACUAGGAAUAUUGAGAUACUAGGAAUAUUGAGAUAUUAGGAAAGUUGAGAUAUUAGGAUAUUAGUUGUUAUUUCCUUAUAUCAUUCUUUCCCAUUCUUAGAAUGGUGAUUACCCUCUAUAUAUACUCUGUACAUGAACGAAUGAAAGUAUGAAUGAAAAAAACUACCAUUUAUCAAUUUGAAGACUUUCUUGGUAUGAGCCACGGGAGGGUUCUCCACCUUUGUCGGUAAUGUCAAUGCUGUUGUUGGAGUUUUAAUUUUUUUCCUCAUCUUUAGGUGGUUCCGUAGAGUUCUGAUCAACAACCUCUUUAUUAUUCUCUCCUACUCUAUCUUUCUCUUCCUUUUCUAGUGUCCUUUUUAUCGUCACCAUCAACUCUGCAUCUACAUCUGCAUCAUUGAUUUUCUUUAUAUUACAACAAAGCUUUUAUCAAUGAUGACCCGACUCUAAUCUGAUCCUUGCCAGCAAUUGACUAUUUCAAAACAACAAAUAGGCGUUUGUACAACUAAGAUUCAUCGAUCAAAACAUAGAUUGAGAGGAGAUCCAUACAACUUUUAAAGCAGAAGCUGAAAAGGUAACAAAUAUGUCAACCAUGGAAGCAAACUCUAUUGAAGUGAACAAGUAAAGAUGCACUUGAUAAAAAGUCAUUUUCUAGUCUAGAUUUCUGUAAAAUGGCACUAGGACCUUCUAGAGAGUAUCGGGACACAUUGCAGCCAGGGUAAGAUGAAUUUCGACAAUUUUGCUCUAGAUUCUUGACGACAGCAGUAGGAGUGGCCUUCAGGUAGGAUAAAAUGUUGAACGCUGUGGGGCAACUGAGGAACGUAAUUUGGUGGGAUUUCCACAGCAUGUUAAUGCCAUCUUCAUCCUCAUGUCCUUCAAUUGCUUUGACUACUGUAGUUGCUGUUCGGAAGUCUAGGAUGAAUCAUUCGUAGAGCUUGGUGAGACACCACCAUUAUGUGACGGGGAUAUGGCUUUUUGCUCGGAAAUCCCCACAGAUGGCGCCAAAUGUUCUGGUAUUUUUUUAAUGGUCCUUCCUUAUGAGCCGUUUAAUCUAUUUAUAGCUUUGCUAGUCCUUGACACGUGUAUAUCCUUGGGAGAUGUGUGUGGUAACAAAAAAAUAUUCUCUCUUUGUAACGAGUAUUAGCUCUAACUCUCAUUUUCUCACUAAUACAGCUCCUUGGUUUCGUGAACCUUUUUCCAAUACAAUAUGCUUCUCAGAUUUUGAGAGAAGAGGCUUCACAAUAUUUUUUGAUGCCCAAAUUCAAUAUGUAUGAUGAGAGGAGUAGAUGUAUACGAAGAUUUGAGGUCAUCUAAAUAUAGUGUUGCAACAUCUUGCUGGUGGUGGGUGAGGAAACCAAAUGUGGUUCUAAAGCCGAAAAACCAAUUAAAUAGCAGUCAAUGCAUGACUCCUAUAUGCUUAAUGAAUGAAAACCCCUUGUCAUUGAGGUGUUUGCAGUCUUAUCCUUUGUUUGUUUUAGAUACACAUAAAAAAAUGUUGCUUGAUGCUCAUCUAUCUUCAUAUGAAAUUGAGAUGUUAUUAACUUUACUCCAAACCAAGACGAAAAGUCCAAACAAAACGAAAUGUCUACUAAGGUGAAUUGCCUGAUUAAAGUGAAAUGUUUACCAAUGCUAAAUGCUUAGUUAAGACAAAAUGUUCCACCAAGAUGAAAUGUCCUAUCAAGACGAAAUGUUCCAUUAAAGCAAAAUGAUCAAACAAGUGAAAUGGCCAAUUAAAGCAAAAUAUUCCACUAAGAUGAAAUGUCCACCAAGGCGAUAUGCCUAAUCAAGGUGAAAUGCCUGCCAUUUUCAAAAUGUUCAUUAAUCAAGAUGAAAUGACUCACCAGGACGAAAUCCCUACUUAAGGUCAAAGGCACAACAAAGAAUUUGAGGGAGAUUGUGUACUUUCAAAUUUGAAGUAGACCCAUUUAAAGUCAAAAAGCUCAAAGAAAAAUCAAAUGACCAUCAUAUGCUUCCUAUAGUCAUGCACGCAUUCUGAUCAUGGUUUUCACCUAAAAACAAAAUGUUAAGGCAUUAUAAAAUACUUAAAAGUCACAUAAACCAUCCUUAGAAAGAAUUGUUAAUCAUGAGUUUUGAGAAACUCUAUAAAUAAACUAAAAAUAAAAUAUAAGGAUUGAUUUAGCCCAAAAAUGAAGAUUCGAGUUCUUAACAUAGAAAAAGAGUAAAAGACUUGUAUUCCUAAUAGCAUAAGCUAGACGGUCGUCUAUCUAAGAACACAAAAGUCCAAUGGGUAGGUUUAUCAUUGGUCAUAGUCCUUAUACCAAAUGGUAUCAUAAUGUAGGGAACCCUCUCAGGGGCAAGUAGCUUCACUUGUAGCUAUCAUAAGAUAGCAAGCUUAAUAAUUUUUUUUUUCACCUAUAAACUCUUUAGAGAUGAGCAUAUAGGUGAUAAAAGGAGAGUAAAUAAAGGAACCAAGUUUAGAACUCAUGUUUCCAUGAACACGAGAUGAGGAAGCUCAUCUUCUUUAGUUUGAAGCCUUAAAAUACGAACUUUAGGAUUGAUUUUUAAGUGUCAAAUGCCAUGGAGGAGGCAAUUUGUAUUGGUACGAACAUGAGCAUUAUGUUUGUUCGUUUCGUUUUGAAAAGAACACAAGCUAAACCUUGAGUUCCCAAUGAAAACCAACUUUAUGGUUGAAUGAUGAGACAACAUGUGACAAAAAGUAAUAUUAUAUAAUGAUAAAUCUAUGAUAGAAGAGAGACUUGUUUCUAGUCACAACAAUUGAAAAACUUAAUAAUAUACUAAAAAUUGGUUCGUCUCAAUGGCAAAAAUAGUAAAGAAAUAAAUAAAAGAAAGUCCUCAAAAUGAAGCCUUGAGUUCUUAAAAACAUGAAAAUGAUGUAAAAAAAAAUUAGCUACAUUCUCCUGAUUACGUGGUGUUAUGUAGCAAUGCAUCCACUAAGGGGCAUACAAAAAGAAAACACCUAAAGAUAAAAGGCCUGUUUGGAAAGUGUUCUUGAAAACUGUUUUUUGUUUUCUAGAACAGAAAAACACUUAAAACAUGUUUGGUAAGGAAGAAUGUUUUUGUUCUCCGUGUUUUCCAUGUUCUCAAAACCCUAUUUUCUGAUAACAACUUCAAGUUGUUUUCCCUGUUUUUUGCACCAUUUAGAGGAAAAAAAGGUGGUUGUUCUCCGUGUUUUCAAAAGGGUGUUCUCCUUGUUCUCGUGUCUUCCCUUCUCAGGUUGAUGUUGCUAGGUCUGAAAACGUGUUAGCCUUAACCCUCUAAAAUCAAACCCAAUUUGCUAGUUCUGGGAGUAGAGAAAAAGUAAUUUAAAGGCUUUCCCAUUGAAUUUUUCACCCCUCGAUUGCAGCUACGAUAGCCACGACCACUGCAAUCACAUGGCCUUUGCUUAGCGAUGGCAACAGCGGAGACAUCAUCAUUCACUGGUGCAACACCACCCCCACUGUCGGCAUUGACGGAAGCUGCAACCUUUCGUUGGGUUUGUGGCGAUGCGAUUUCUUGGUUCGUGGGUUUUCGGAAGAUCCAUCUCUGUUUCUCUCUCUUCUACGCAAAACCCAGCAAACACCACUAUUACAUCCAUUUACCCACCAAUUCAAACAGACCAAAAAACAAAAUAAAUUCAAAAUUUUCAACAAGAAAAAAUCUCAAACCUUUUCUUCGUCUUCCUCCCGGUCAUGUUCCUCUCUUCUUUUACCACCUCUCUUAUCAGUCUCUUUGGUAGGAGAUCUGAAAGCUCUUGUUUUUCUAUGUUUUUUUUUUUUUUUUUUUGUGCUUUCUUAACUGCUUUUUAUGUUUCCACAAAGCUGACCUCCACCCAACCACCACACUCCCACCCACCAACCCUUUCUUCUUUCUUAAAUUAUUGAAAUUAAUAUACUUACACAUGGUUACAAAGUCAUCAUUUGUUUAAGAAAAUUAUAACUAGUAUAAAAAUUUCAAAAUAGAAUAUUUUUUUUUAAUUUAAAUAAAUUAUGCAUAUGAAAAUUAUUUACAUAUUUAUAAUAUCAAAUUAAUGGAAGAAAACACUUUAUUAAUUAAAAAAAUAACUUUUAAACAUGUUUUUAUUUAUUCUAAUUUUUUUUAUUAACUCAACCAAACAUGUUUUUUUGUUUUUGAGAACAAAAACUGUUUUUCAAAAUUUAGUUUCUAAACACAAUUUUUUUUUUAAUUCUUUUUUUUGAAAACACAAAAAACUGUUCUAAAAAAUUGUUUUCACAAUAGUUUUCAAAAACAGCAACCAAACAGACCUAAAGUAUUUUUCCAACAUGAAAACUCUUCAAUUGUUGUGUUUAAAAGUGAGAAAAAUGGGGUAAGUGAAGUGUUCAUGGAAAACUUGUAUAUUAGAUGAUGUGAGCUAUUUGAGUUUGAGACUUUAGCAUGAGAUUCGUCAAGACAAAUCUUAUCUACAAGCAAAUACACAACCCAGAUGAAUUUUAUCUACAAGCAAAUGCAAAAUAUAGUCUACGAAAAACGAAAGAAUAUUUUUUUGUUGUCAAUUUUCCACCACAAACAUUACAUGUAACAUAAUAAAACCCUAUAUAAAUAACUGAAUACCGAACUAUAGUUUUUUCAAAAACAAAACACCCACAACUUUGAAUCGAUAUCUCCCUUGAGUGGCUGAGGCAACCUGAAGUAGAGGGCAACCUUUGAUGUCAUUUCUCCCGUAUCCUAGUUUAGAAUUUUCCUUCUUGGCCCCAGUCCUUUUAGGUUGUGCAUUUUAGUCUCAAGCAUAAUAUUUGAUCCUCCUCCAAUGAUGCAUUUGCUUGCUUUGUGGAACGGGGAUUCUAAGCUGGUGGGCUUAGAAUAGGCCAACGACUUCAGAUCUCCCAAUUUUUAAACAAAGCUUGCCGGAAGGCUUCUUUGGCAACACUCUACCCCGGGUUUGGUGCUUGUAUUUCGUACCAACAGUGGUGGUGGUCGACCUUGGGUGCGACGUAGUUGGCUAGAUUCAGCCUAGCGACCCUGCAAUAGCGACUAUCCAAGUUCGUUUUCAACUCACAGUUGCUUCAUACUGGCGGUGGUGCUCCGUCUACUGUGCCUCCAAUUAGACCAUAACCGUCUUUAUCUGUUCCUUAAGGAUGAGGAUUACUCCGCUGCUGCCUGUUGUAUCACCACCUCUGGCCGUCAUGGUCAUGAGGGAAUAGCUUACUGUUUAUCGAUUCCCACACAUGGUGCCGAAUUCCCUACAACACUUCUCUACCUUGUCCCACCUUCAUUGCUCUAGUGUGAAACUGCAUGCCAACUAGCUUUACUUUCAUCCAUGAAUAGCCUGCAGACAAGAUGAUGCCAUGCAGGAGAUCGGGCAGGAACCCCAGUGGAGAGAGCAAAAUAGAGGAAGAAAAAAAGAAAAAAAAGAAAAGAAAAAGACAAAUUGCAUAGAUCUACCUCACAUUGGCUUUUCAAUAUCCAUGAUGCCCAGAAAACUCAAUACUUUUCCCCAAUGUACCUCUAUACAGCUCAAACACCGAUUACUAUGUGAAACAUGAGAUGCUCUAUUUGCCCAUGGAUGACAAAUAAAUUUUAAGGAAACCCAGUUGGAAAGGAGAUUGCUGUCGCAAAAGCACAGAGUUCCAUAGGGUUCCCUCAGUAAUUGGUGGAAAAGUUCCAGUUAAUGGGUUCGAUAUAUAAAUUACCAGAUUAAGACAAUAAUAAUGCAACUGCACAUCAUGAUUCUUCAUUAUUCUUAGCAGUUACAGCAUAGUUAAUCUUUGGUUGAAGACCAUCAUUUUUGACCUAAAAAUCAUGGUUGCAUACCCAAAGACAGGUCCCAUGGUUCAGAGUUUGAAAAUUGUUCCCUUGGUUGAAUGAUUUGAGCUAAAUCCAAUGUUGAUUGGAUCAAGAAGUUUGAACGAAAUACUGAAAAUUCAAACAUUGUGUCUUUAUUUUCAUCUUUGGUGUUUUUAUUGUCAUUAUGAAAAAUUUCCAACUGAGAAAGCAUAGUGCUAGACAAAAGCCUACCCCAGCAAUUUCACAUCCAGGGAAGCACUAAUGGGGAUCAACCACAGGUUUUAUAAAAUGGAAAUCUUUCAUUUUUUAUUUUUUUUGGGUCCAGAGGUAAAGGAGAAUACUGUGCAGCUGAAGUGGCGAAAAGGAUUGGCACUAACUGCAUUUCAAAGGAGUGUUCAAAUGGCCCCUUUGAAACCUAAAGUAAACAAUUUUGGCGUGUUGACUGGUUUGGGUCGUUUAUAUUAGACAUACACGGCAAAUCAAAGUCAAGCUAAUCAAAAGGCUCAUCUUUUCAAUUCAUUGAAUAGGGAAAUAACGACUGUUGAGAAGAAAGAAGAGAGGAAGAUAUGUACAUCUUGGUGUUUUCCUUGCCAUUGAGUCAGUCUUCAUAACAAUAUUAUCUGAUUGUUCCACAAAUACGGCCAAAGGAUCUGAAUAAAACUAGUUCUAAACUCUUCUUUUCCAUUUGUUGGACAGUGUGAUCAGCCUUCGGUCAUUGACGUGGACAAAGUUCUAUGCUUCCCAGAAAGUAUGUCAAUUUCCAUUGACUCCAAUUCUGGAAAUGCAAGAAUUUUCCUUCAUGAAUUGAGGCUUCUGAAUUCUGAGAUUAUUGUUCUAUCUUUAAAUGAUCAGGGGAACAAAGGCAUAGGAAGCACAACUAUCUGAACAUGGUUGUGAUUAUUCUGUUUCUUCUCUUCAUCUCUGAAUUCUCUACAACAACAGGACAACUAGGGAAUUCAAGCAUUACCCUGGGCUCUUCUCUCUCCCCCACUGGCCCCUCGAAUUGGUCUUCACAUUCUGGUCAGUUUGCCUUUGGAUUCUACCAAAAAGGCAAAGGCUACGCUGUUGGCAUCUGGUUUAACAGAAUUUCACGAAGAACAGUCAUAUGGACUGCAAAUCGGGAUGCUGCACCACUCUCCCGAGAUGUUCAACUGAUUUUCACAAGUGACGGCAAGCUCAUCUUGCAACAGAAUCAAGGGGAAAGCAUAUCCAUUGUUGACAGAGAUCUUCCGCCUGCUUCCUCAGCUUCCAUGCUCGAUGAUGGCAAUUUUGUCCUAAAAAAUUCAAGCUCCAGUGUCAUAUGGCAGAGUUUUGAUACUCCAACAGACACCAUUUUACCAGGGCAGCCUCUUUUGGCGGGGCAAAAGCUGGUCUCAAGCGUUUCUGAGACUAAUCACUCGGCUGGAAAAUUUCAACUCAUUAUGCAGAGCGAUGGGAACUUGGUUCAAUACCCGAUAGAUGUUGCAAAACCAGAAACUGCUUACUGGAAUACUUCCACAUUCACUGCUGGAGCGACUGUGAGUCUAAAUCUUGAUGUCAAUGGCAAACUCUACCUGCGGAAUGGAACUGGCUUUAAUAUCAUGAAUCUGUAUGAAGGGAGUCCUUUCUCUACAGGUAUCUACCGUUUGACCAUAGAUGCAGAUGGUAUAUUGCGGUUGUAUUCUAGCAGUUCGGAUCAGAAUGGUGAUUGGACAGUGGAGUGGUCACCAACCACAAAUAGGUGCGUCCCAAGAGGCUUGUGUGGUCUGAAUGGGUACUGUCUUCUUACAAAUCAGAACCCUCAAUGUGUAUGUCUUCCUGGUUUCUAUCUCACGAAGCCGGGUCAGAAUAACUCCGAUUGCGAGAGGAAUGUCAGCAUGAGCAAGAAUGGAGAUAUAGAGUAUAAUAUCAUUGCGUUGGAAGAUAUUACAUGGGAAGACGACCCCUAUUCUGUUCUCUCCAUGACGAGACAGGCUUGCAUAGAGAACUGCUUGAGUGACGGUAACUGCGAAGCCGCACUGUACAAAAACCAGCAGUGCAGAAAACAAACGCUUCCAUUAAGAUUUGGGAGUCAAGAAGGCGGAGUCACAACCUUAUUCAAAGUAGGUAAUUUUAGUUCGGUAGGCAAAGAAAGCAGGAAGGAGCUGCGAAUAAUUGUCAUCCUAAGCACAAGCAUUUCAUUUUUCCUAGCAAUCUCCGGUGUUGUUAUUUACAGGUACGCAUUCAAAAGGGUCUCGAAUCAGGGAAAUGAUAGAUGGGCGGAAGAUGUCGCUCUACGACCAUUCACGUACCAUGAGCUUGAAAAAGCAACAAAUGGGUUCAGGGAUGAAGUGGGGAAAGGAGCUUUUGGAACAGUCUUCAAAGGGGCCAUAUCAAAUGGCAAGACAGUCGCCAUCAAGAGACUCGAGAAGAUGAUGGCAGAAGGCGAAUGGGAAUUCCAAAAUGAGAUGAAAUCAAUUGGGAGAACCCAUCACAAGAAUCUAGUUCGACUGCUGGGCUACUGCCAUGACGGAAGUAAUAGGCUUCUUGUCUACGAAUACAUGACAAAUGGAUCACUUGCAGAUUUCCUCUUCAAGUCCGAAAGAAAGCCAAUAUGGGAGGAAAGAAUUGAAAUAGCCCUGAGUGUAGCCAGAGGCAUCCUCUAUCUGCACGAGGAGUGUGAAACCCAGAUCAUCCACUGCGACAUAAAACCCGAAAACAUUCUAAUGGACGAGAAAGGGUGCGCAAAAAUUGCAGAUUUUGGGUUGGCAAAGCUGCUGAUGCCCAACCAGACCAGGACCUACACAGGAAUAAGAGGAACAAGGGGCUAUGUUGCACCAGAAUGGCACAGGAACUUGCCUAUAACGGUAAAAGCAGAUGUCUACAGCUUCGGGAUCAUGUUGAUGGAAAUCAUUUGCUGUCGAAGGAGCUUAGACAUGGAUGUUUCGGAGAAUGAAGUAGUACUUGUAGACUAUGUGUACGACUGCUUCGAGGCAAGAGAGCUGGACAAGCUGGUGCGCGAUGAAGAGGUGGAUGGGAUGAAACUUCAACGGAUGGUGAAGGUGGGGCUUUGGUGCAUUCAGGACGAGCCAUCGGUUCGCCCUCUGAUGAAGAAGGUGGUGCUUAUGAUGGAAGGGACAGUAGACAUACCAGCUCCUCCUAGAGCUUCCUUUGCUAGUUCCAUGUCUAGAGAGGCUCAUAACUAAAAUGUAAAAACCUAGAUGUACCAAUCUCAACGUCUCAGAUGUAUAAGUUAUGCUUAUUUUUCAAUUAUUUCAUCUGUUCCACAAUGUCUUACACUAAUGUGGUAUAUAAAUGGCCAAAACCUUCCUUAUCAAUUAAACCACUUCAAUGUCUUCAAAAUUUGUGACGAAAAUUUUCAGACCUUCCGAUUUUCAUCCACAUCACUUUUUCUUUAAAAUCACAUUGGAAAAUUUUAGUUAUAUAUAUAUAUAUUUUUUAAAAAAUUUGUUGUAUAUUUUAAAUUGAAUAUUUUUAAAUGUACAAUUCGUGUAUAUUUUUUGGGCUGUAAUUAUAUAUUCGUUAUUUUAGUAAUAAAAGUAACAAAUAUUAUUCAUUUUCAUUUUCGUAAUAUUAAUAUUUUCACGUCAAUUUUUUUUUAAUUGAAAAAAACCCAGUAUUAAUAUUUUUCCCUUCAUUUUUGUGUGCCAUAAAUUUGAAAAUCUAAGCAAGCGCAGAGGAGAGGACAGCUAGGGUUUCAGCAAAAUCCCAAUUCCACCAUCGCAGGUACAUUCUUCUUUCGGGUUUUUUUUUUCUUUUUUUUUUCUUUUUUCCUUUUCAUUACAAAUCUCAACCAUCUCCGUCAACUCAACACCUUCAUUCAUCCCUGUUAUUCUCUUUUUAUAUUUAUUGAUUGAUUUUGAUUGGUCUUACAGAAGACCUGGGAUGGCGGAUAGGUUCUGGAGUAGGCAAUACUUUGGCGUGCCCAAGCGGCCUCGAUCAGACUAUGGUUUCCCCUCUCCUCAUUUUUUUUUUUUUUUUCAGUUUAAUUUGUAUCACUUGAACCUAGAUGAUAUUUGAUUGGAAUUAUGAACUUCAUGCAAUUGAUUUAGGUUUGUUUGUUUUGAUUUGUUUUUGUGUUUAUUACAUUGCACUCUGUUUGUGAUUUUGAAUCUACUGUGUUGAAUUGGGAUUUUCAAUUGAAUGUUGGACUUGAUGCGGUUUCAAGUAUGGGGAAUUUGAAAAUGUUACUGUUGUUUUUGAAUUGUCGUUGAUUUUGAGUCUUUGGAUUUAACUCUUAGUAUGUUGGUGUGUAGAGCAAUCAAACAGUGGAGUUGGAAUUGGGCCCUCCAAGUUCAACCGCUAGCCUGUAAUGGCGGGAAUUGAUAUUUAUGAUGGGUGUGGAGUUCCUAUGUUUGGUUUUGAGUCUAUGUGUUGGACUUAUUGAACUCGAUGUGUUUGGUUGGUACAAAUUUCAUAUUUGUGGACAAAAAUUGUUCUGUUAACAUGUCAGCUUUAGAAAAUUUUAAAAUUUUAUCUUAUUUGUUGAAUUGGUCUUGGGCAAUGUAUGUAUGUGACCUCAACCUAACUCAACCAGCGUAUGGAUUUUCAAAAUUAUUGGUUGGCAAGAUGAACAAUGUUUUCCUUUUCAAUAUAUAUAUAUAUAUCGGUACAGAUAAUCUGUUAAAAUGUAAGCCCAUACUGAUCUUACCAUAACUCAUGUUAUUGUUGCCUUUCUUAUUAGUCACAUUAACACAGACCAUAUAUUUUAUUUUUGCUUAGGUUGGUUGUUGGUUGUAGGUUGUCGUUGCACACUGCCGCAACAUUUCAAGUCUGACCAUAGUGAGCUAGAAUUGUUGGUUAUUCAAUCUUUUUGAAUCAUUGAUUUUAUUGCAAACACCAAAAGGGUUAUUGAUCAAUUAUUUGGUCAUGAAAUAAUUGAUCAUGAUAUAUAUAUACCAAAAGGGUUGUUGAUCAAUUAUCUGGUCAUGAAGUAAUUGAUCAUGAUAUAUAUAUACCAAAAGGGUUAUUGAUCAAUUAUCUGGUCAUGAAGUAAUUGAUCAUGAUAUAUAUAUAUAUAUAUAUAUUUAAAUCAUCAAAUAAUUUAGUGUCCAUUUAGAUACACUUCUUGUUUUUGUUUUUAAAAAUAGAAAGUAGUAAUAACUUAUAUAUAAAAUGUAGAAACUCUUAUACAAAAAGUAUAGGUUUACCGUUUACCUUAUGUCCUUAACAAUUACUUUAACAAAUUUUAAAAUUGUUAAGAGUUUUCGUAUUUUAUAUAGAACUUGCUACCAUUUUCUAUUUUUACGUAUAGCAAAUAGGAAGUAUAUCUAAAUGGACACUUAAUUAUCUGAUUAUAUAAAGUGUUUUUGAAUUUUUGUGGAAUAAGAAGGAAUCAGCUUUAUUGAGGUUCCAAAUCAUGGAUUUAUGUACACAUCUCUGAACUUGAAAUUUGGUGCCUUUUGUAAUUUAAGAUAGGAAAGAUGGCAAUGAUUGUGAGCCUAUGACUACAAAGUUCAGCUCAGCUACUAUCUAUAUAAGUAUAGAUAUGCCAAUAAUGUAUUACUUGAUUUGGUAAAUAUAAUGAUCUAAUGUUUCAUUUGCAUCCCAGAAAUUUCUGUUUUAUGAAAUAAUUUCAUUUUUAUAUGGAUUAGGGAAAAAAUGAAUCAGGUUUGUUGGAAAUCUUCAAGAGUCUUUAUAAACCAAGUGUUAGAAAAAUUAGGCUAAUCCAAUCUAAGGUAAUCACCCUAAAGGGGGGGGGGGGGGUGUGAAUAGGGUGAUUGUCUCUUUUUGAAAAUUUAAAAGUAUGAAUGCAAGAGACAAUUAUAUGAAAAUAUAUAAUAAAACAAUAUAAAAACAAUUACAUAUAAAGUAAAAGUGUAGGGAAGAGAGAAAAUAAACACAAGAUUUUUAUAAUGGUUUGGCGCAACCCGGCCUACAUCCACUCUCCUCUAGCUUCAAUCCUAAGCUUGAGGUUCCACUAAUUUAAGGCUUUCAAACCAAACCUUCAAGCAAUACAAUUGGAUCAUGGUUCCAAUUCACUCUUUUGGGCUUUUGGCUCCAAGCACCCUUUACAAUCCUUAAGAGAUACCCCACUCUUGAACAACCUCUCAAGUAAUACCCCACACUUGAGAAUCCCUAAGUGAUACCUCACACUUAGAUUCUUCCUUUCAAAGAUAUACAAAUAAUUUAACAAAAUCCUAGUACAAAACUUUAGGCUCAAACGAUACAAGAAAACUAGGAUUGUAUGGUGUACUAAUGAUAUGCAACUUUUAGAACAAUGGUGCACUCAAAAGCACUUUCCCAAUGUUCAAAUAUAUUCAAGAAAGGUUUUGGAAGAUUAAGCUCAUGAAAUAAUGAAGAUUGGAGCCUUUUUAUAGAGGAAAAAUGUCAAACUAGCUAUUAGGGGUUCAACUGGUCGAGCUGAGGAUCAACCAGUUGACUAGUCGUUAGCAUUUAAUGUUUGAUAUGUGACCGUUGGACUUCGACCGCCCCUUGACUGGACCUCAACCAAUUGAGGUGGGGGUCAACCGGUUCAACCGGUUGAGUCGUUUUUGACUCAACAACCAACUUUUUAAAUUUAAAACCUCUUAAACAAGUUUGGAAAACAUUUAACGUAAGGUUUUAGUUAAAAAUAUGAAAUCAUCCAAUUUUAAAGGAUUUAAAAAUGAUAAAACUCUUGGAUGAUUUUGGUGCAUAAGUAAAGAAUGUAAUGCAUAAAGAACUUAGUACAUUAACAACCUUACAAGGAGAUUUUAUGAAACUUGGGUCUUGAAAAAUACUUAUCUUUGAGGUCUUCUUCUUCUUCAUGAUUUUUCUUUAGCUUGAUUUGUCUUUAUAAUUGCCACUUUGGAAAUUGUCUUGCCUAAUUACACUUGAAAUAUAAUCAUUAGUUUUAAACCUUGUUUUGUUAUCAUCAAAAUCGAGAUUAACCAAACCUUGGUUUCACACUAAGAUAUGGCCAUUUUGGAUCAUAUUGCCACAGUGGUUUGCGUUUGAACAUAGUUUUAAAAGGUGUGCUUUAAGUGCACCUUGAGCUGUGCCUAGGCUCAAGGCGCAACCACUCCCUAGUUAUAGCUCUUCCUAGCCAAGACAUGCACCUUAUUGAAGAGGCGUGCCUUAUUGACUUUUAUUCUUCUUUUUUAAACACUUUUAUUUUUGAAAAUUUUAAUUGUAUAUUGAAAUUUAUAUAAUUUCAUUACUUUUUUUAUUGAAUGUUUCUUUUAAAUGUUUCGAAUCUUAAAUUUUUUAUUGAUUGCAUUAGAUUUUGAAUCAUAUUUUAUAAAAUUGAUAUGCAUCCUAUGUUGCAUUUCACUUCACUCAAGUGCACGCCCUGUGCUGCACCCUACGCUGAAGCUAUAGGAGACUUUUGCGCCUUAGGCGCACCUUGCACCUUUUAAAACAAUGCGUUUGAAAUACGACUCCUGCCUGCCCGUCUCAACAUUGUUUUCAAUUUAUCUUGGAGAUGGUUGUCCUAUGAAAAUUGAAUAUCUCAUUUAGAUUUACUGUGUUUGAGAGGAGUCCAUUGACUUUUUGGUAGUAAAUUGAUUCUCUGUGGUUUCAUUAGCAGUAAAAAACUUUUAUGAAUUCAAAAUGUGGCUAUUUUCAUUAUUUUUUCCUUUUGGUGUCUAUCGCAUGUGCAGACAACUCUUCUUAAUGUAUUAUGUGCCCUUUAUUAGUUUUCAUUAAGUUUUCUUUUCAAAGAGUGUCUUGCUUUGGGCUUGCUUUUCUUUUUUGUUUUUUUUUUUUCAAUUCUUUUCUACUAAAAGCCAAAGAUGCACAUUAUAUUGCCUCUCUUUUGAUGCAUGAUAUCAGUCAUCAUUACUUUUGUGGGGCAAUUAUCUAGUUAAAUUUCUCACUAAAAGAGAUUGACUCACAAAAGCAAUAAAAUAGCACUUCCCAGGACAGCUCUAUUGGCAGGUGCCCCUGCUUGGAAAGAGCAGGCCCAAGGUUCGAGUUCCCACAGAAAAUAGAUUUUUUUUUUUUUUUUUUUUUGGGUGGACAUGUCCAGUGUGGGUGCUGUUUUUCUCAUUUUUCUAUUAGAUCCCUGAUACUAUUGGAAAAUAUAAAGGUAAUAAACAGUUGGUUAAUAUAGGAAAGUUUAUUGAAUUUACAUUUCAAUUUUGUAUGACUUCCCUGAUUUAAUAGGAAUGCAUUCAGGAAAUAAACAGUUUCGGUAUAGGAGAGUGUAUUUAAUUUACAUCUAUUGUCAGUAUGAAGCACUAAAAGAGAUUAAUUCACGAAAGAAUCUAUAGAAUAGCGCUCCCCCAGACAGCUCAACUGGCUGAUGCUUCUGCUUGGGAGUGAGAGCUCCAAAGUUUGAGUUCCCCUCAGGAAAUAGAUUUUUAUUUUAUUUUUAUUUUUUUUAUGUGGGGAUAUCCAGACUCCAGAAUGGUUGCUUUUUCCCUCAUUUUUAUAUUGGGGUCUUUGAUAUUAUUGGAACAGAUAAGAAAUAAACAGUUGAGUAAUGUAGAUUUUAUUGAAUUUUCAUUCCAAAUUUCUAUGACAUGUCCCUGAUAUUAUUGGAAUGCAUUCGGGAAAUAAACAGUUUGGUAUAGGAGAGUAUAUUAAAAAAUAUAGAGUCUGGAUGAAGCACUAAAUGUCCAGAUGGCUUGAUUGUUUAGUUUUUCCAUUUAUUUAUUUAGUUGAAGCUAUAUUUGGUUUCUGAGAGGAGUCAACAAUUUAGUACGCUAUAAAGUUUGGCAUAAUGAAUAAUUAAUAUAUUAGAACAAAAAUCGCUUUAAUUAUGGUUGGCAUUAUUACACCAAACAAUCAAGUUUAAAAUCUCAAAUUUUUGAUUGGUAUUAUUAUUUUAACUAGAUGAAGAUUGACAAUUGACAAUCCACUAGAAGAAUUGAAUUCAAUCCCUUUAUGAGUAUUCCAUUCUCUCUCUCAUUUAUCAUAGAACUCAAACCAACUAAAAUUGCACUUGAACUUUCUAUUUUACAAUGUUAUCAAAACUGGACCGGUUAUUAAAUUAGAAAAGUUACCGGUUUAGGAUUCAAUGAUCGGACUGGCAGUUAAACCACUAUCUAACCGACGGUUAUCUGCGGUCUAACCUGUGACGUAAUAAAUAUAUAAUUUAUAGAUUAUUAAAAUUAAAAAUAAAAUUAAAAAUUUUAAAAUAUAUAUAAUUAAAUUUUUUAAUAAUAUUUCCUUUUUAUAUUUGAUACGUUAAAUUAAAUGGUAAUGAUAAAUAUAAAUGUACUAAUAUAAUAAAUUUUAUUAAAUAAAAUAUGUAUAAUUUUUAACUAUGAAAACUUAUUUAAGAUGAAAAGAAAACUUUAAUAUUUAAUUUUAUCUCUUAUCUAUUUUAUUAUUUUAAACUUUUAAAAAUUAUUAUAUUAUUUUCAUACUUAUCAUUGUAAAAAUAAUUGUGAAUGUAAAUAUUUAUAUUUGUUAAAUAGCCCUAAAUGAUACAAAUUUGAAAAAAAACAUCAAUAAUUUAUAUAUUUUAUUUUAUUGAAACAUUUAAUAAGUUCGUUGCAUAAACCAGUGGUACAAUCACUGUGUUUUUUAUCCAAGAUUCAUGGUUCAAGCCCCCAACAUGCAAAGAAGUUUCUUUUCCUUAUAAUAUUAUAAGCAAUCCCACAUCGGAAGUCUACAAACUAUAUUUCCUGUACAAAUACCUUGUUUAUCGUUGAAGUUACAAACAUAUUGUUGGGCUGGAGCUGGGACAGACAUUCGGUUGGCUCUUGCUGGAAGGCACAUUGGGCCAGAAAUGAGGGGGGUCCAUUAUGAUUUUGGUCAAAUUAACCUUGACUGGUUCAAGGGAAACCGGAUGGUUAGUCCGGUUCAAUGGCCGUACUGUUGUUUUGGAUGGUUUAACACCGGUCCAAUGAAGGAGUAGUUCAAUCCAGUUAACUGGAUUGGAGAGGCCGCCAGUUGACAUUCCUACCGGUUGAACCGGAUGGUUUGGUUCGGUAUUUAAAACAUUACUAUUUUAUGCCUAUCAGCACUCUUUUGGAACUUUUUACCAUAAUUGUUGAAGGACUACUUUUGUAUCAUCAAUCCAACUAUUGUUUCAAUCAUAUUUGUUAAAGGGGGCUCUUAGGCAUGCAAAGGCCCAAGGUGCAAUGACUCCCUAGCUAGGGUGCAGUGCCUGCCAAGGUGCGACCUUUGUUGAAGAGGCACCCUUUGUCUAUUUUCUUUUUUCUUUUUUUCCCUUCAAACUUACUGCAAAACAACAUCGUUUUGGCUCCCUUUUUUUGAACUGAAUUGGGGAGGACAAAACAAUGUUGUUUUGCUCUCUUUUUCGGGAAAUAUUGAAGGCAAAUAUGUUUAUGCUUGUGACAUUGUGUUGACAGAUGUCAAUGCUAAAUAGUGUUAUAUUCUUCUCCAAUUUGUUAGUUUAUUAGCACCUAAACCCUCUUGAACAUCCAUUUUGGUUUUUGUUUUCUGUUUUCUUAUGCUUCUAUUCUUAAAUUUUUUACUCUAUUGAAAUUUUGCAUUGUUGCAUUACUUUUUGUUGGAUGCUUCUUUUAAAUGUUUGAAAUCUUGAUUUUUUUGUUACUUGGAUUGGAUUUUGGAUCAUAUUUGGUGACACACACACACACACACACACACACACACAAGUUUAAACAAUAUUUUAAAAUUGCACAUAUGCCCUUGGUUGUUAUGCAGCUUAUGCCUCACUUUGCUCAUGUGCACACAUUAGGUUGCAACUUGUGCCUAGGCCCCGAGGGAUCUUUGCACCUCAAGAAUGCCUUAUGCCUAUCAGAACUAUGGUUUCGACUAGUUGAAGUUGAUUGUCAAUUGAAUAUUUGUACAUGGUGUCCAAACCUCUUGAUUAAGUUUUUUACCCCACUUAUUACCUUUGAGUUAACUUGAAACCAUUCAAAAUGCAUUUAUAACCUCAAAUCCAUGUUUGAUAGACCUUGGUUGCAAAUGUUUGAACCCUAAUUUUCGUACUUAUUAAGCUGUAAUCAUAAAAAAAAAAAAAAGUCCUGAAACUAUAACUCGGUUUCUUGUUAUACAUCUAAAGCAUGGUCUAACCAUUAAAAUUUCUUUUAAAGCCUUAAAUUUGCAUUUGGUAAACCCUCCUUCCAAAUGUUUUUGUGUUUGGAAAAGAUUCAAAGGGAUUUCUAUGGGGAGGAGGAACUCUUGAUAAAAAGCCUCAUGUCGUGAAUUGGUCAAAAGUCAAUAUGUCAAAGAAGAAAGGAGAGGUGGACACUUGUGAUCUCUUUGUUUUGAACAAGGCUCUCCUAAGCAAGUGUUGUUAGAGGUUUGUGUUAGAAGUCUUUUUGGAAGCAAGUUAUUAUAGGGAGGUUUGUGAAAGAAGGAGGAUGUUACUCUAUGGAGGUGAGGAAGGGGUAUGGUGUAGGGCCGUGGAAGGCAACAAGGAUAGGGUGAGGAGUGUUCAAAACUAAGAUUUCGUUAUGUUGUGGGCAAUGGAAGGAAGGUAAAGUUUUGGAAGGACACAUGAUGUGGGGUAACUUCUUUGAGGGUCUCUUUUCCCGUAGUUGUAUGCUAUAAUUACCUUAUAGGAUGCUUGAGUAGUUGAUGUUUGAGAGUAGGCUAACAAAGGUUGGCAUUGGACUUUGUGUUUCUCAAAACAUUUACACGAGCGGGAGUUGGAUGGUGUUGCAAUUUUCUUUCUAAGAUUGUGAGGAAAAUCAAUAAGAAGGGAUGCUAAAGAUGGGGCAAUGUGGAUAGCCUUGAAGAGAGGCAACUUUUCAUUCAAGUCCUAUUAUUUGGUUUGGAUCAUGGGAGACCAAAAUAUUUUUUGGUGGAUGUUAUCUAGAAUUCAUGGGUUCCAACAAAACUAAGCUUUUUUUCUUGGGAACCAGUUUGAAUUACGGAUAAUUUAAAGAAUGGAGGAUGAAUUUUGGUGAAUAGAUGUUUUUGAACACAGAAUAGAAGGAAAAAUAAUUUAUGAUUAGUUUUUUUUUUUUAAAUUGAAAAAUUACAGAUAAAUAAAUAAAUAGGCUAAGUUUGCAGCUUUACCAUGUAACUGACUACCAAGAAACUAGGAACUAACAAGCACAAGGAUCUAAUUAGCAGAAUACCUAGAUAUCUUAACUUGAUUAGUAAUCAGUUUGGAUUUAUUGGAAACAAAUAACAGAAAAACAUAGCAACAAACUCUUAAUAAUUUAACACUCCCCCUCAAGUUGGAGCAUAGAUAUUCACCAUGCCUAACUUGCUAACAAGAGUUUCAAACCUAGGCCUGGAUAGACUCUAGGUUAAGACAUCAGCUAUCUGUUGUUUUGUGGUAAUGAACGACAUGCAAAUAACUUUACUUCCAAGUUUUUCUUUGAUAAAAUGCCUAUCAAUUUCAACAUACUUCAUACGAUCAUGUUGAACAUGAUUGUUUAUAAUGCUGAUUGCAGUCUUGUUAUCACAAAAGAGCUUCAUAGGAGGUUCUCAACUCAACUUUGGUUUAUCAAAAAUUCUCUUCAGCCAUAAAAUCUCACUUACUCCACUAGCCAUAGCCCUAAACUCGGCCUCUACACUACUAUGAGCUAUAACGCUUUGUUUCUUGCUCCUACAUGUAAUAAGAUUCCCCAAAAGGGAAGUACAAUAACCCAAUGUGGAUCUUCUAUCUGUAACUGAACCAGCCCGAUCAACAUCUGUGAAAACUUCCACAUUUCUUUGGUUACCUUUUUUGAACAAAAGUCCUCUUCCUGGUGUACUUUUCAGGUAUCUUAUAAUUUGGUACACAACUUCAAAGUGUUCUUCAUAUGGUGAAUGCAUAAAUUGGCUCACAACACUAACUGCAAAUCCGACGUCAGGUCUUGUGUGGAAAAGAUAAAUUAGCUUCCCUACUAGUUGUUGAUACCUUCCUACUUCAACAAACACUCCCUCGGUUUGUUCUCCAAGUUUGUGAUUUUGCUCCAAUUGGAGUAUCACUUGGCUUGCACCUGCUCAUUCCUGUUUCUUCAAGUGGAUCUAAAACAUACUUUCUUUGUGAAAUAAAGAUCCCGUUUUUUAGAUCUAGCAAAUUCCAUUCCCAAGAAAUACCGUAAAGACCCCAAAUCUUUAAUUUCAAACUCUGCUGCAAGGCUCCUCUUUAAUCUAGCUAUCUCAAUGUCAUUAGUUCCAGUAAGAAUGAUGUCAUCCACAUAGAUGAUCAAAAUAGCUGUCUUACUAUCUCCAAAAUGCUUUAUGAACAAGGUAUGAUCAGUUUGCUAGUGACUGUGGCUUUGAUUCUUAACAGACCUUGUAAAUCUUUUGAACCGUGCCCUAGGAGAUUGCUUUAGGCCAUAUAGUGACUUCUUUAAUUUGCUCACUUUGGUUCCAAAGCUGUCCUCAAAUCCUAGUGGAGCAUCCAUAAAGACCUCUUCUUCUAAUUCAUCAUUAAGGAAUACAUUCUUGACAUUUAACUAAUGUAGGGGCCAUUCUAAGUUUACAACCAAUGCUGUAUUUAGCUUUGCAAUUGGAGCAAAGGUCUCCUGAUAAUCAAUCAAUCCCAUAAGUUUGUGUAAAACCUUUCGCGACCAACCUAACUUUAUAACAUUCGAAGGACCCAUUUAUACCCCACCGGUGUCUUUCCUUCAAGCAAGUUUACUUUUUCCCAUGUGCCAUUUUUCUUAAGAGCCUUCAUCUCCUUGAAGACAACCUCUCUCGAUUCAGGAACAUUUAGAGCUUCCUGUAUAUUUUUAGCUUCAUCCAUACUAGAUAGUUGUGAGAUAAAACCUAAAAAUAUACAGGAAGCUCUAAAAUAUGAACCUAAAAAUAUACAAUAAGGUUACUGAUUUUUAUAGGACACAUGAUUGGAAAUUGGAUGCUUAGUGCAUGUUCUAGUAGCUUUUCUUUGAGCAAUGGGAAUAUUGAUAGAGAAAUCAGUUUUUGGUUUAGAAGUGACACAAAUCAAGAGAAGUACCUGGACUUGAAGUUUCUAUAGCAUUCGGAUCUGGUCUCAGAUUGGACUCUUAGCCUUGUAAAGUUGUAAUAGCAUCUUUCCCUUGAGUUAGAUUUUUCCUUGAGUAGACAAUUUCACAUCCGCCUUUUUUCCUAGUUCCUGGAUCAUUUUCUGUUCUAGUAUGGACUCCACUUAUGGGCAUUGAAAUAGGCUGUCUUACUUCUAAAUGUAAAGCAUCCAAGUCCAUUAAAACAUUCGGAUUCACUAUAAAAAUCAGAAUUUAACAAUUUUGAUUUUUUAUCAGAAACCAUGCCAGAAGUUUAAAAUUCUGAUUUUUUUAUUAGAAACCAUGUCAUUCCCCUCCAAUUCAAGUAAUGAGCCUUCAUAACCAUUCUCCCAAUGAAGAGGAGUAUUAAAAAAAUUGAGCUUAGAAAAAUGUGACUUCCAUAGUAACAAUACUUUUUUUAUUUUUGGAUUAAAACAAUGGUACCCUUUUUGUGUUGGAGAAUAUCCAACAAAAACACAUUUCAAUGCUUGUGGGUCUAACUUACUACAAUGAUGAUUAUGCACAUGUACAAAAGCAACACAAUUGAAAAUUUUAAGAGGUAAAGCAGAAAUUAGACAUGACAUUGGAAAACCCUCUUUAAACAUUUUAUUGGUGUAUUAAAAUUCAAAGUUCUUGAGGGCAUUUUGUUGAUCAAAUAAAUGGCAAUAAGAAUAGCUUCUCCCCACAAGUAUUUAGGUAUUUUAAUUGUAAACAUUAAAAAUCUAGCUACUUCUAAAAUAUGUUUAUUUUUCUUUUCCGCCACUCUAUUUUGCUGUGAAGUAUCAAAACAAGAGCUUUGAUGUAUAAUCUCAUUUUCCAAGAAAUAUGUGCCCAAUAUUUUGUUGAAAUACUCCUUUCCAUUGUCACUUCUAAACGCCUGUAUUUUUUCUUGAAACUGAGUUUCUACCGUAGUGUAAAACUUUUUAAAAAUUUGUUCAACAUCUGAAUUUUCUUUGGGCAAAUAAACCCAACAAACACAUGUAUAAUUAUCAGUUAGCAUUAAGAACCAUUUUUUUUUCUAGAAAUUGUUGGAACUUUAUAUCGACCCAAACAUCACUAUGAACAAGAGUAAAGGGUUUAGAAGACUUGUAAGGUUGCAUAAGGAAUGAUGCACGAUAAUGUUUUGGAAUUUGACAAAUAUCACAAUGAAAACAAGAGGAAUUUUUAUUUUUGAAUAAAUUUGGAAACAAAUACUUCAAAUAUUGAAAGUUAGGGUGGCCUAACCUAAAAUGCCAUAACAUUAUUUCAUUGCUACUAGAUUCAAAAAAUGAUUUAAGACUAGUUAUUUGAGUCUUAUGAGUUUGUCCACACAAGUUACUUCCAUCUUCAAAGUAGCAAAGUCCAUCACUUUCUUUAGCAUUGCUAAUCGUCCUACCCAAGUCCAUUUCCUAAAAUUCAUAGUGAGUAAAGAAGAACCACAUUUUAAGUCACGAGUGAGCUUGCUAACCAAUAAUAGAUUACAAGAAAUAUUUGGAACAUGAAGGACAAGAGAUUUUGAAGUAGCUAUUGAUCCUUUCCCAACAAUUGUUGAAAGAGAACCAUAAGCUAUCUUGAUUUUUUGAUUUCCUACAUAUGGACUAUAGGAGGAAAAUGAUUUAAAACACCCGAUCAUAUGAUCAAUUGCGUCUGAAUCUAUGAUCCAUGGACAACUAGAAGUAGCAAGUACAUUAAAUGUAACAACUUAACAGUAGUUGCCUUUUUGGGCCAAAGAACAAGAGGAAGACACAUUAUUUGAGAAUUUUGUGGAUUGAUAAAGUGUAUAUAGUUAAUCUAUUCCUUACUGAAAGAAGACAUCUCUGCGGCUCCUCCCAAGCCACUACACUCCUCAGCUACUUGAAAUGCCUUUGGAUCAUGGUUUGUUUGACUGAAUGAUCUCGGUUUUCAGUUUUGUGUUUUCCAUGUAACUCCCAGCAUGUUUCUCUAGUGUGUUGAGGCUUAUGGCAGUGAUCACACUAGAUCUUGUCACUUCUUCAAUUUUGCUGUGGUUGUCCAGGUUGAGCAGAUUGAUUGUUUCUUGUUACUAGGGCAGGAACUUCAAUUGUAAGCUGACUAUUUUCUCCCAUUAUCAUCUUUCUUUAACCCUCUUCUCUCCUUAAUUUAGAAAACACAUCACUAAGAGAUGGUAGUGGUUUUUUGCCAAGAAUUCUACCUCUAACCUCAUCUAGGUCUUUGUUUAGUCUUGCUAAGGACACAUACACUUUGUAAUUCUCCAUUCUUUUUAUAUACCUUACACUAUCCUUUGUGCAGUCCCAUACUUCAUUAUAGCAUAGGUCAAACUCCUGCUAUAGUGCUUUCAUCUCAUUAUAAUACUCUGUUACCUCUUGAUUUUCUUGAUUUGAAUGGCACAACUUUGUUUUUAGUUUGAAAAUCUGGAAUGAGUUUUCCAGGUCUGAAUAUGUCUCUUGAAUGGCUUCCCAGACUUCUUUUGUAAUAGGGAGAACCAGAUAUGUCAUACCAAUUGCUGGCUCCAUGGAAUUGACAAGCCAUGCAAUCACUAACGAGUUCUCAGACCUCCAAGUCUUCAAUGUUGGAUCAUUGUCUGCUAGUUUUGUUGUCUUGCCUAUCAGGUGACCUAGCUUUCCCUUGCCAUCGAUCAUAAGCUUGAUUGACUGCGCCCAUUCUAGGUAAUUUUUACCGUUCGGUUUGUGAACGAUCAAUUGAAGAGAUGGAUUUUCAACUUCAUUAAGGGUUACAGUAGAAACUGGAGGUGUACCUGUACUAGCAACACUUGUGGAUGUUGUAGUCCUUUGCCCAGUCAUGGCUGUUCUCGCUAUCACGAUUUCCCAAAAAACAACCUAUGCUCUGAUACCAUGAAUGUAGAAUAGGAGGAAAAAUAGUUUUUGGUUAGUUUUUUUUUCAACUAGAAAAUUACUGAUAAAUAAAUAAAUAGGCUAAAUCUACAGCUUAACCAUGUAAUUAAAUACCAAGAAUCCUGGAACCAACAGGCACAACUUUAGGACCUAAACUAACAAGCACAACUCUAGGACCUAACUAUCAGUAUACCUAGAUAGCUCAACCUGAUUAGUAAUCAGUUUGGAUGUAUUGGAAACAAAUAACAGAAAAACAUAGCAACAAACUCCUAAUAAUUCAACAAUUUUAUAUGUAAAGGUGAGGAGGAAUCUGGUGAGCACAAACCCCUUCAUUGUACUAAGGGAAGAAUUUUAUGGUAGUUUGGUCUUCUCCUUGUUUGGAAUUGCAUAUAUGCUACAUUCAUUAGUUAAAACAACAUUACUAAGCUGGCAUGGACAUUUCGCUGGGAAGAAGAGGAAGAAAGCUUGUAAAGUUGCUCCUUUGUGUUUGUCUUGGACUAUUUGAGAAGUGAGAAAUAGGAGGGUUUUUGAUAAUGCUGAGUUAUUGGAUCUAGAGUUCAAAUCAUCUUUUAUGUGUAAUUUUUUGGAGUGGGUCAAAGGGGGUUUAAAGGAUGGAUCCAUGUCUAUGGUUGAUUUUAUUCUCUCUUCUUGUUCUUUGCCUUGUAGUGCACUUGUAUGUGCCGUGUGUACUUUGUGUGCCUUUUUUUCAUGCCUUUUAAUAUGUUACUUUCUUUCCUAUAUAUAAAAAAAGGGUUUUAAGCCAUACUGCUUGUAUUUUUUAAAGUUUGUAACUUGGUUUCUUUUCUAGCUAUCAAAAAUUUGACCUGUCAUUUUAAGAUAUUACAUUUAUAACUGCUGUGUUUAUUACUGUAGCCUAGGUUUCGUAUCUCUUUCACUAGUCCUAUGCUGUUCUCUUUAUUUAAAUGGGAAUAGAGGUAUCCCAACUGUGUUUUAGACCAUGUUCAAUCACACUCCCUAUUCUAAAUGCCUUUCCUUGCUCAACUGUGUUAGACAAUAUCAAUAAAAAAUUUGAAGUAUUGAGUUUGCUUCAUAUACGCGUCUAGUGCAAGACAUAUUAUAAGAAGUGAAACUGAAUCCUUCUUGCUGUUGAAGACUUUUGGAAUUCCUUUCAGCUAUUCCUGCUUGGAUGACUGCAUCACCAUGCUAAAUAAAAUGAAACAUAAGUACAAAAUUUACUCCUUUAUUUUCGACAUUUGCAGAUCUCCCAUAUUCUGGAUUGCCUUCAGGCAAUGAGGUCCAUAAUUAUUUAGUUCAAGGUGAUGAUCUUGGUGGCCCCCGAUCUGUAAAGGACUCAAAGACUGUUGGAUUGGCAUAUGACCAAUAUUUCCAGGAUGUUUGUGCUCUUAAACCUGAGCCUAUGUUCAUUUUAAUCAGACAUGUAACUAAUCUACCUAUUGGUGUGCUAAAGCAUUCAUCCUAUUGCUUUUGAAGCAGAUUCCUUCUUUUACUUCUGGAGCAGCUAGUGAUUUUCGUGGGGUUGGGUUAGGAACAGCAACUGGUGAAGCAAUAUCUGGUCUUUCAAUUUCUGGUCCUGCUGUUAUGGAUCAUUUGGAGGCCCUGGAUUCUGAUCUACCACCAAGUGGUCAAGGCAGGCGUUUUGGUCAUCAGCUGGAUGCAAUUAUCAGACCAAGCCGGGAAACGGCUCCUCUACCUCCUGAUGCAUCCAGCACUCUUUAUGUUGAGGGGCUUCCUCCUGACAGCACAAGGAGGGAAGUAGCUCGUAUCCUUCAAGAUGUUAUAACAUUGCCAAGGAAUUAUUGUGAUUCAUGUUUUUUUCAUCCCAUUCUUUCAAUCUAAACCCUCCUGCUGCUAUUUGUUGACAUUCCUUUACCCAAUCCUAGAUAUUUUUCGCCCAUUUGUGGGGUAUAAAGAAGUAAGACUCGUGAGCAAAGAAUCCAAGCAUGUAAGUUACUUGUAAUAAACACUCCACUGUCCUAGGCCCACUUGGCUAGUCAGUUUUCGUUACAUCACUGUGAUUCUCUUCUUCAUACUGUUUUGCAGCGUGGUAGAGAUCCUCUUGUCCUUUGUUUCGUGGAUUUUACAAGCCCAGCCUGUGCUGCAACUGCAUUGAGUGCUUUGCAAGGUGAUCAUUUUCCCAAUUCAUCCUUGAUGAAUAAAUUUUCCAACAGUUUCUGCCACUGGAAGGGAAAUCUCUGUCAUUGUAGUGUACUGUGUGUGUAUAUGAAGAUGGUAGGGCAAUAUAUAUAUAUAUGUAUGUAUGUAUAUGUAUAUAUGAAGAUGUAUGGUGAUCACAAUUGUUAUUAUGCAUUCUCUGCUUUAUAGGAAUGUUCUUUAUUAUUCUUGAUUUUAGUUGGCCUUGUAUUUAUGCAAUCAUUUUUAAGCUUUUGCUGCCUAUUAAAGAUGUAGAUGAGAACUAUUAUUUGGGCCAGAGAAACAAUUCUCAUAUUUGCUUGUGUUGUCUGAUAAAGAAUGCUAUUCAAAGGGAGUUGUGAUUAUAAUAACCAAUGUUAAUCAUGAUACUCCUAGGAAGCUGUUCUACCUCACCUGUAAGGGGUAGAAAAUCUGGAAGGGCAGGGGGUUCAAUGCUUACUGUUGAGGAAAAAAUGGAUUAGGGUAUCUCUUAAGGGGAACCUACCAAGAUGUAGAUUUAAAUGGUGUUAGGUUGAUUCAUUUGCUUAUGCUACUGGUGUCUAGCAAUGUCCUGAAUUAAUUGUUCGAUUCCACAGGUUAUAAGAUCAGCGAACAUGAUCGUGAUUCUGCCCAAAUGAGAUUGCAGUUUUCUCAGUACCCAGAUCCAAGGUCUGGCUCUGGAUCCCGUGGGAAGCGCAAAACAAGCUUCAAGAGAGGGCGCCCAAGCAGAAUGAAGUCUCAUGUACUUGUAUGUACUUUUAUAUAUUUUUUCAUAGAUUGUUCUUUGGCAAAUUAUAAACAUAGCUGUAUUGUGCAAUCUAGAUUGUUCAAUCCUGCCCACACACUAUAUCUUCUACGAUGGCUUUGCUUUAGUUUCUUUGGUCAGUUCAUACAAUAUUUAGAGAUUAAUUUUCUAUUUUGAGAAGUUCUUAUAUUUCCAACCAUAAGUGCCAAUAAUUUCGUUAUAAAAAUCGAGAAGAUUCCACUAUUAAAAAACUAUCAAAUAAAAGAAAAAAAUAAAAAAAAAAAGUUGACAAUGAUUGAUGGACUAGAUAGGAGAAGAGAAUAAAUGAGAGAAGAACACGUACAGAGUUGCAGAGAAGGAAGAUAGAGAACUUAGCAUUUAUUUCAAUGAGAUCCCAACCCUAUGAAACUCCAACAUUUUUUUUUAAAGGAAUUAAAUUUUUUUUAAAUUCUUCAACUAUAUCCUUUGAAUCCUUUCUCUCAAUGAAUUUUGUUCAAACCUCUCUUAUUCUAAACGCUUUGUAGGCAGGUUUCACCUAGGGAAGUGCAAGUCUUCUUUUUUUAUAUGAAUGGAUGAUUGAUGAGAACGUAAUCAGAUCGAUUUUUAUUCUUUUUAAUUGGAUGUCUUGUUGGAAGUCUUCUAUUUCCCUCCCUUUUAUAUAUGUAUAUACAUAUUUGUUUAAAAAAGGGAUUAAAAGUUAAAGAGAAACAAAAGACAACAUUGAUUUGUUUUUCAGACAGAAGAUACAAUAGGAUUUGUUUUUCAGACAGAAGAUGCAAUAGGUUUCGUGUUGUAAGCUAUUGUGGAAGAGGAAUCCGGUUUUGCAUGGAAUUUGCUGAGAUUUGGGCUUUGAAUUUCCAGAUGAUCAUGAUUUUGCUUUCAUUUCAUAAAAAUUGAUCAGGAUUUUUUUGUUGAAAGCUGCAGUAGUUUAUAUUUUUUACUAUAAUCCUUUUUCAGUUGAUGCUGAUUUUCAUUAAGAGAUUUUAUAUGGCUUAAAUAAUUGAUUUUUUUUUUUUCCUAUUCUUUCUGUAGCGCUGAAGAAGACGUAGAGAUGUGAAGUUUGCAUCAUUUAUUUGGUAGUGAAUAGAAGGCUAAUGGAUAAUAAUUGGAAACAGUCUGGGAAUUCCAAACCAUAUGCAAUCAGAGCUGUUGAUGGAGGAUGGCUCGAGUUAAAACACAGAAUAGUUUUGGGCUUUACAUGAUAUAGUUUACUUCAUAGGACAAGUUUCCGCAGCCAUUAGAAUGGCUGACCAAGGUUUUGUUGAGCAUCACCAAUCCAAAGUUACAUAUGUUUUCUUUUUUUGUGAAACUGGCUCCUAUAUAUGUAGGAUCCAUUCAUGCCAGUAAUCCAUUGUAGUGAACAGGUACCUAUUAAAAUCCUCCUCCUCCUCCUCUGACAUGGAACCAAGAAAAAUCAGAACCCUAAACUUACUGGGUGUGUUUGAAUCCUUUGCAUCAAACUCUAUAUUUUCUGUUAAAGCCUAUGUGAAACCAGUGAAAAUGUGACCUUUGCCAUUAAGGUUGUGAUGAUACAUUCAUUGGAAUGUAACGUCGAUAGCGACGAAUUCCGAAUUCGGAUUCCCAAAUGACAACAAUGUCUUUGGUGUCGAAGCAGAUGGUGACAUUAUACAAGCUGUCCCACCUCAUUAGUCUUCACAGAAUGGUGAUCCUAACUGCAUCUGAUUUUUCUUCAGUGUUUGGUGGUGGAAUUGACGUGCCUAUACAUCUCCAUUAGUCAACCACAGAUCGCUACAUGUCUGUUAUGCAAUCCACCUUUCAUACAUUUCCUAUUACAACUAUAUGCUACUACUAGGAAUAUAUAUAUACACACACAAUGUCUGCCAGCCAGACCCAUAUAAUCUGAGCAUCUUAUAUUUUAUGUCUACUAUAAUUAUAGUUAGAUCGGUCCUGAUACCGCCUCUUGGGGAGUAUUGACCUUAAAAAACAAAGGGAUACUACUUGGUGUCAGCUGGAUUGGGCAUUUCUAUAUCUCAUAUGGUCAUGGAUGGCUGCGAGUUGUUACUAUGGGUUUCAUAUUCACGUUAGGUUCAGAGUUUGGACUUCUAAGGACCGUGCUGUAGAUAAAUUAUUACGAAAAGAUGGGUUGAUUCAGACUCAUUGGACUGUUGCUAAUCAGCUUGAAGCUAUCACAUAUAGGCAGCAUGCCCAUAUUCAAGUAACUUAGAUGGGGAUGGGGUUAAAUUGAUUCAAUAGCCAUGCUAUUUUUUAUGAACUCUUUUAAUUUUUACUAGUAUUUAUAAAAAUUGUAACAUAUUUCUGUUAUUAUUACUGAUAGGUCCAUUUAUUAACUGAUGGGCUCCCUGCUCAAAUAUUCUCCUUUCAUAAAUACUAAAUAGUGAAUAAAUGCGCCUUAGACAUAAACAAAAAUAUAACGAGGGGCUGUGAUUGACAGUGAUGAUUACCCAACUGCAAGAAUUUCAAAGAAUUAAACAGAAUAGUAGGUAAGAGGAGAGAGGUACAGCACUAAGUGAGUAGUGAGUAGUGAGUAGUGAGAAGUAAGUGGUAACAACUGGAAUGUUGAUUUGUACUUUUUAUACUCGAAUUGGAUAUGCCUAAAGCCACUUUUACUUUACGUUUCACCUUUCUUUAUCUCAACCUAAUCUUUCCGUACCCAAAUGAUGGUAGUAGGUGAUUCAUGCAGAAAGGACAGCAGGACUGGCAUCCAUGACGUGUUUUAGGUUUCACUGUUUCACUGUUUGACUUUUUUUUUUUUUUUUUAAAUUUCAAUUUCUACUCUUCACAAUAUUUAUUCUUUCUAUUAUUUUUUUCGAAGUAUUGUACUUUUAAGCCACAUGAACGUAUAAAUUUUGAAAAAGCUUUGUUAAAGUGCUUUGAUCCUUUCUUUCUUGUAGGGCUUGCCUAACUAUUGAUUCAAUUUUUGUUUUGAAAUUUUAUUAAACAUAUGAUUAAAUAAGGUACUAUUUUGGUUGCUAGAAACAGUUUUCUAUUUUAAAAAUUUAAAAAAACAAUUUUAAAUUUUUUUAGAAAUGUUUUCAAAUAAACCUCAAAUUGUUUUUUUUUUUUUCUUGUUUCCCCGAACGAAUGAACGGCUUGAUUUACAAUAAUGAUUUAUACCUCAAAUAUUAUGCAAAGAAAUUACAUACCCUUCAUAUUUAUCCUUUUUUUUAUUUGGGAAAUAAGGAAGAAUUUAUUAGAUUCAAAUGGAAGCUAUAAAGCCAUGUAAAAUGUGAACAAAGUCGAAGAGAAACCACUCCGGUUAAGAGGGAAAGAGACGGGAGAUAGUGGCCGUGGGUGUGAAGUCGGGCCGCCUGGUACCUGCACCCUAAAAAAACCAUGGAAAAUUUAGGUGAGAAAGACAAAAAUUCAAAUUUCUCUAGUAUAUACGACUAUACGAGGAGGAAGACUUUCUCUGUGAAUGAUUGCAUAAAAAAACACGACCUUUUUACUUUAUUCCUUUGCUGAGCUUGCAUGCACACCUUCUCUCUCUCUCUCUCUCUCUUCAUUUUCAUAUCUAGAAAAUAGAACCGGUCCCCACAGCCAAGCCAAUUUCUUCCUACUCAUAUCUUAAUGAGUGGUCCAUUCUCUUUUUAAAAGGAGAUGACCAAUUCAAACCCAAAUUCAUUUACAAAUGCUACAAGUGUUUUUAAAGUAAUUUUUUCACUGAUUGGGUGAGGUGUGAAUCUGUGAGAGGGUAAAAACCUAAGCUAUAUUAAGGGUGGAGAAGGCCUGGUUCAGAGCAGAACACAACCCCCCAUUUCUGUACUGAAAAUGGGAAGAGGAGGAAGGGGGCCUUCAAUGGCCUCUCUCAUUGCCACUCUUCUGGUGGUUACCAUUUCCCUAAGCUUGCCUUCUGAAACCUCUGCAAACUACCAUUACUCAUCUCCUCCACCGCCUUACUACUACAAGUCCCCACCUCCCCCUCCACCUGUUUACAAGUAUAAGUCUCCGCCACCACCUCCUCCGGUCUACUCCCCACCACACCACCCACCAUACAAGUACAAGUCUCCACCACCGCCGCCGCCGGUUUACAAGUACAAAUCUCCACCCCCACCUCCUCCGGUCUACUCCCCACCACACCACCCACCUUACAAGUACAAGUCUCCACCACCACCGCCGCCGGUCUACUCCCCACCACACCACCCACCUUACAAGUACAAGUCUCCACCCCCACCUCCUCCGGUCUACUCCCCACCACACCACCCACCUUACAAGUACAAGUCUCCACCCCCACCUCCUCCAGUCUACUCCCCACCACACCACCCGCCUUACAAGUAUAAGUCUCCUCCGCCACCGCCACCGGUUUACAAAUACAAGUCCCCACCACCACCGCACAAGAAGCCAUACAAGUAUAAGUCACCUCCUCCUCCACCGUACAAGUACAAGUCCCCACCACCACCACCCAAGAAGCCAUACAUGUACCACUCUCCACCACCACCACCAUAUAAGUACAAGUCUCCACCACCACCUCCUCCGGUCUACAAGUACAAGUCCCCACCACCACCACCCAAGAAGCCAUACAUGUACCACUCUCCACCACCACCACCAUAUAAGUACAAGUCUCCACCACCUCCUCCUCCUGUCUACUAGUACAAUUGCCCACCUCCUCCUCCGCCCAAGAAGUCAUACNNNNNNNNNNNNNNNNNNNNNNNNNNNNNNNNNNNNNNNNNNNNNNNNNNNNNNNNNNNNNNNNNNNNNNNNNNNNNNNNNNNNNNNNNNNNNNNNNNNNAGCUUCAAUUCUACUGCAUUUUAAUUAUAUUUCACCAGAUUCAAAGACCUGAUAAAGAAAAUGGACUAAUGACACAAGCUUUAUGUACUAUAUAUUGCAGUUUGGAAAGCAGAACUGAGAAGAAUCUCAAAAUAAAGAAAAGGGGGCUUGCUGCAGAGCUUUUACAAAGAAGGAAAGCGAGUCUCUGCGUUUGAUUGAUGUUAUCUUGUGUUAAAUAGAAAAGUAAUAAACUAGGGGUCCAGCAUUAUCAUCAUGUAUUCAUCAAAGUUGCCGUCGCACUGGUCCAUAUAUUUUUGCGUGUUUAGACGAAUCGUGUGUCUACGUAGAUUUCAACCUUUUUGGCGAAUGCUGAGGUUGAUUUUAUAAUAAGAUCAUCAAUAUCUUUCUCAAAUUAAUUCUCUCUCUGCCCCCUGUGUGAACUCUCUCUCCCUUCAUACGCAAGCUCACGUUUGAACAGAUUCGUAUACAAAAUGUUAAUUAUCUUUUAUGUACAUUAAAAUUUUUUGUGAACUAAUCAAAGAAAAUGUUAAAAAAGAAUAGCGUAACAAAUUUGCAAUUAUCAAAUUUGAUUUUCUCUCUCAACAAGAGGGAAAAUUAAUCUGCCAUACAUUUCACGUGGUACCUUAUCUUCUUUUCCUUUUUCCCCUUUAUUUUUGUUUGAUACUGUCUUGAUAUGUCUUUUUCACUGGGUGUGCAUCUAAUUCAUUAGCAUGUGUAUAAUUAUUCAACACCUAACCCUAAUGGUAAUGGGUCUGGUGUAUUUCAUUUUCUCCUAAUUUCCAUCUUAAAAAGGAAACAUGUUGACAAGAAGAAAAUAUGAGCUUCUGUAAAUUCUUUAUUCACCAUUUCAUGUCUGACUCUUUUUACAGCCAUAAAUAGAAACUUCCAAAUGUUUAAAAAUAAGAAAUGUUGACUUCAUUUUUCAGUUUUUUUUUUCUUCUCGCUUGUUUGAUAACUAUAUUUGAAAAUAAUUUUGAAAAUUAAUUUUUGAGAAUGAUUUUUAAAAAUUGUUUUUUGAUUUUUGUAAAACAAAAGUCUAUUUUGAAACUUAAAAUAUUUUGACUUGUUUUUAAUAUUUUUAAAUUUGUUUUAAAAAUAAUUUUUAUAUCUAAAUGUUUGUAUAAUUAUUUCUUAAAAGAGCUUUAAAAAAAUAAAUAAAAAUAAUAUAAAAUAAUUAAAAGAUGUUAUUUGAAAAUAUUCUAUUUUUUGUUCUUAGAAUAAAAAAAAUAGAAAAUAAUUUUUUGUUGUCAAAUGUAUUUCUAUGUUUUUUGUUUUAAAAAACAGAAAACAGUUCUAAAAAUGGGUUCCCAAACAGGACCAAGUAAUUCAGGAUUUACUUGGCCGACAGUAGGAAUAAAUGUCUCCGGUGAAUUGUCUAUUUUAAAUAAAAAAAAGAAAAGAAAAGGGAAUUAGAAUCUAAACAUGAAUCUUAGAUAGCUAGGUAGCAGAGGGGAAAUUGGUAAAUAAGAUUUUUUGUGGUAACAUAUGUGUUUGUUUUAUUAGCCGAGUGAUGUAAUGAGGACAAUAAUAAGGUGAUCUUGUUUGGAAAAUGGACCACCCAUGUCAGCUAGUAAAUGGUUCGAGUAAUGCUAGCUGGAAUGCCUUACACCUCCCUGUAUAUUAUUAUUUAUUUAUUCAUAUGUAAUUUAAACCAUAAUAUUAGUUUAAUUAAAAAAUCAUAAUCCUCCAUCUAAUGAUAAUAAAAUAUAUAAUUAAUGAUGCUGCCGGCAGGCAGCCGCAUGGUGAAGGAAUACAUUAUGGUGAAGCUGCUAGGGUGUAUUUGGUAACUACUUUCAAAAGUAGUUCUAAAAAAUAGUUUUUGAAAGUUAUUAUCUAACAUUUUGUAUAACAAAAAUCUAUUUAAGAAUUUAAAAUGUUUUUAAUUUAUUUUUAAUAUUUUUAAAUAUGUUUUAUUUUUUUUUUAUAUCUAGUACUUUAUUUUUAACAAUUCUAUAUGAUAUAAUUAUUUUCUAAAAUAAUCUUCAGAAAAUAAGUGAAAGUAAUUAAAAAGAUAUUAUUUAAAAAUAUAAUAUUUUUUGUUCUUAAAAAUAAAAAAUAGAAAUAAUUUCCGAUUAUCAAACGUGUUCUAUUGGUUUUUUUGUUCUGAAAAAUAGAAAGCCGUUUUUAAAAACAGAUAUUAAAUAAACCCUAAUUGUGUAAAUGUUAAAAAAAUAUAUGGAAAAAAUUUAGAAAAAAUUUGAAAUUUUCUCAAAGUAAUUAAAUAGAGCUUACGAUUUUGUCAAUGAUACAAAGAGGUAGGUAGUUAAGUAGGAGAAACUACAUUUUCAAGGCUUAUCAUUUUCUUUUUUAUUAGUCGUACGUUUAUUAAUUACUAUAUGAACUAGUCAAUUAAUUAAUUAGAUAAAUUUUGAAACUCUCACAAAGAAAUAUAUAGGAAUGGAAGUCUUUAUCUUUGAAAAAUUGCACCAGGAAGCCUAGAUGGAAUGGCGACACUACUACUUUAUUCUUUAGCUUGCAGCUUCCAUCGAUCACCCCGAUGCACCAAGUCAAUUUCAUCCAACUCAAAUUUCUUUCUUAAUUUAUAUAAAUUUUUUUUCUUAACAAAAAUUAAUCAUAAAAUGACCCAUUCAAACAUAGCAAUGAUUUUUAUUUUUUUUUUACUAGUAGAAAUUAAUGUUUGGGUGUUUUGGAGUGAUUUUACUACGAUGAAUUGAAGUGUUAGAAAGGUAAAUGAGUAAGCUAUAUAAAGGGUGGAGGUGGUGGCCUUAAAGCAUAGCUCAGUCAAAUUUCCUUUUUGUAGUAAAGAAUGGGAAGUGGAGGGAAGGGAGCGAAGGGGUCUUCAAUGGCUUCUCUCUUUGCCACUCUUGUAAUGGUGAUUGUGUAUCUCAGUUUGCCAUCUGGAACCUCUGCUGAUGAAUACGAGUACAAAUCCCCACCACCCUACAAAUACAAGUCUCCACCACCACCUCCUCCCGUUUACAAGUACAAAUCCCCACCACCUCCUCCUCCAGUGCACUCUCCACCCCCACCACCACCACCUUACAAGUAUAAGUCUCCGCCACCACCCCCACCAGUUUACAAGUACAAAUCCCCACCACCACCAUCACCACCUUACAAAUACAAGUCUCCACCACCACCACCUUACAAGUACAAGUCUCCACCACCACCACCUUACAAGUACAAGUCUCCACCACCUCCUCCACCAGUUUACAAGUACAAAUCCCCACCACCACCAGUUUACAAGUACAAAUCCCCACCCCCACCACCUUACAUGUACAAAUCCCCGCCACCACCUCCUCCAGUUUACAAGUACAAGUCUCCUCCACCACCACCUCCCAAAUACUACUACUCUUCACCCCCUCCCCCUCCCCCUCACCACUACUAGAGUGGUUCUGCUGCAUGCAAUCAUUAAGGUGGGCUUCAUAUUUUCUACUUUUUCCAUAAAUUCCAUUUCUGAAUUCUGCAUUGUUUUAUGUUAAUCCAUAGGUUUUGCAGUGGCAAAAACCUGACAUAGAAGUUGUUGCAGGUUGGAAGUUGGAACGAAGAAGAAGACGAAUAUCAAAAAUAAAUAAAAGGAAGGGUUGCUGCUCUCCAUGUUUGAUUCAUGUUGUAAUCUUAGACACGAAUAAUAAAGCAGUUGGCCUGCAUUUUCAUGCAUUCACAUGGCUGAAUUGCAGUUACACUGCUUCAUGUACUUUAGUGUUCUCCGUGUUAGAGAAAUAGUAUUUGAUAUUUAUACGUGUAGAUUUCAACCUUUUUGCAUUGCCGGGUUGACUUUAUAAUAAAAUAAAUUUCUCAAAUUCUCUUUCCAGUUUUACUUUUAUCUCUUUUUAGUCUUUACUUUCAUUAGGGGCCCAACUAUUCAAUGCCUAAUAUGAACAGGAGAAGUUGGGAGUAUUUUUUGUAUGUCCUUGGGAAAUAUGUUUAACUUUUCAAUAGAUUUUGAGGGUUUGUUUGGAACAUUUUAAAAAAAUCGUUUUUGAGAAUAACUCGAUCUUAAAAACAAUUUUUAAUUAUUUGAAUCGAAUUAAACUUAAAUAUGGAAAAUAAUUUUAUUAAAGUGUUAAAUAUUUACGUACCAUAUAAAAGUUUAUAAAGUAUUAUUUAUAUUUUCAAUUAUUACUUAAAAAUAUUUACAAAGAAAACAAUAAAAAAAAUGAAAAAAAAAACUUAUAAGAACAAAUUCUUCAAAACUUAGGCCCCAUUUGGUCAUAAUUUUUAAAACUUGUUUCUAAAAAUUAUUUUUUAUUUUUUGAUUUAAAAAGAGUUUUUAAAAAAUAUGAUCGAACAAGUUCAUGUUUUCUUUUUGCUUUUAAAAAUUGGUGAAAACAAUUCUUAUUUAUUUUCUAAAAAUUAUUGUAUAUUUCACUUUAUUUUUACAAAUUAUUUUUAGAGAACAAAAAUCAAAAUAGUAUUAGAAAUUUUUAAAAAUAAAAAAUUAUUUUAAAUCACACUGGCAAACCAAGUUCUAUAUUUUUGUAAAAAAAAUAAUAAUAAUAAUUCUUCCAUAUAUCUAAAUUGAAAAUAUUAAUUACAACAACACUUGAAAACUCUUCCCACAAUUUUCAUGAUCUUGAUAAGUUUGGAAGAUGAGGCACAAAUAGAAAAAAUAAAAUAAAAUACUCUAAGCAAUAUUCCAUCCAAUCAUCAUCUAACAUUGGUUACCAAAAUAAUAAUUAAAAAGUAAUAACAAAAACAUAUUGCCAAUAGGAAUAUGACUAGCUAUGUGAAGAAGAAAUUGCAGACAAGCAUUUGAAGAAUUCAUAUGCAAGUCAGGCAGUAGCUGUACGCAUAGUAUUGGACCCUCCUUUCCAGAUGAUGCUAAGCAUCGGUCCUUUUUGGAAACCAAGAGUUUCUAGUAUGAUGUCAUGCACGACUCCUCCAUCUUCAAUUACUAAUCUGUUAUACUAAACCCAUCCGUAUACUCUAAGUUUAAUAUAUUAUACUAUAGUACGUCUGAUCUAGUUAAUGAUUACACAUAUGUAAUAAUAAUGUUGCUGCAGCAGGAGCAGGAGCAGGGUCAUGACUCAUAAAGGAAUACAUACAACAGGAAGGAGACAAAACUGAAGUAACUGACCCAUUUAUUUGAAUUUUAAUACUAUAUUAAAAAAUUUAUAUUUAUAUAUAUAUAUAUAUAUAUAUUAAAUAAUACCCAUUACACCUAAACCAUAUAAUAUAAUAAUUAUAAAAAAAAACAAGCCAGUUAGGUAACUGUUUGACCGAGCGAUAGUAUUAUUAUAACUUUAGACCCAUGCAUGCAUGAAAGCUACGAAGAUAUGAGUGGAUGAGGAGAGUCAAACAAUGGAAAGGAGGUGGGUUUGGUAACGAUGGUGAAGGAAGCAUAAAAUGAGGAGGUGAUCGGAUACAGUGGCUCGACGGUCCACCACCAGACAUGGUCUGGAAUCUCAAUAAAAUGGUGGUGGGGGCCUUGUCUUGAUGACUCAUGAAAGUGAAACCCUAGGGCUCCUAUUCAUUUACAAGAUUUGGUUGAAAAGUCUGAGUGAAGGAAAGCAAGCGUUCAAUGCCGUUCCACCUACUCAGAUACGAAUUCUGUCACCACAUUUAUAAUAUUAUCCUCCUUUCUGCAUCGAGACAAGAACAAGUAGAUAGAGGAACCUUCAUUGGAGUGACAAUUACUUCAUAUGAGAGUGACAAUUCCUUCUAAAAUUAUAGGAAAUGUUUGUUUGUUUGUUUUUAUUUUUUAUUUUUUUAAAAAAAAUAGGCUGUUAAAAAUUAUUUUUUAAAACAAUUUUUAAGAAUAUUUUUUAAAAAAACUUUAUCUGAUCACUGUAAAAUAAAAUUCUAUUAUAUUUUAAAAAUAAUUAUUACAUAUAACACUUUAUUUUUAAUUAUUUCUCAUACUUACUUAAUUAUUUAAAAAAAAUUCAAAAAAUUAAUUAGGAGAUGUUUUUCUAUUCUUUUUUAAAGCAAAAAAUUGUUUUAAAUUUAAAAAAUAAUUAUCAAACAUAUAUACUCUUAUUUUAUAAAGUCAUUCUUCUACCGAUAACCCUUAAUUAAUUAUAUUAAGGAAGAACAAAUAAAUUAAAAUCUUAUUAUUUAUGUCCAAACUUGAACCAGGUCAAUCCAUUUGUUUCUAGAUUGAAGUGGAAAAAUUCAAUCUACUAGAAGUACCGGGUGGAGUUGCUGCCAAGAUUUCAUAGGUCAUUUACAUAUUAAGUCAUGCAUUAAAGGAUUGAAUAGUAAGAACCCUUCAAGUGGGCCUGUCUUUCUCUUGACUGAGUUGGGCAUGGAAAAUAACAAAGCACAAAAAGAGGACAUUAUGGUAGCUAGAAAACUAGGUCUCCGUGCAGAUUGAAUUGGUCUACUUUAAUCUUCACCUAAAAAAGCAGACCAGGAAAAGUAAAAGAGAAGAGAUCAAUGGAAACCCUCCCAGCACGGCUAAAAAUAAAGAGAUGGACCAAAUCAAUCUCACUGACCCACCCUUCAACCCCACUUGCAUUUAAAACUGCCCCAUUUUUCAUAUGUUUUGGCAAAAUUCUCACCUACAACACCACAAAAUUCUUGUUUUUUUCUUUUUUGGCAUUUUCUUGAAGAUUUCUAGGCCUGGAACACGAACUUCAAAAUGGGUUUAAGGACCCUUGUCGUUAAUUUUACGGAACAUACCUUAUCAUAUGGGCCCUUUUUUUCAACAUUAUAGACCUUGCAAGAUUAGGGCUAUAAUAAGGCAUAUUUGUGUCCCAUCAUUUUUUUUUUAAGCUUUUAAAAAUUUUCAAAAUUACUUAAAAAUAAUUCAUGAAAAAUCAUUUAAUAAUCAAUUUUUUUUUUAGAAAAAAAUUGGAAAUUAAAAACAUUGUAAUUAAAUUACUCACAAACGAGCUCUAGUCAUGUGAUGUGUCUAACUUUAUUAUUAUUAUUUUCUUUCUUUUAUUUCUUAACCAUGACUAGUGGGUUUUGAACGUUGAAAAACUGCAAUAAAUAGAGGCACGUGCUCUAACGUGGAACUGAUCUGCAAGUGAAAGGCCUCCAUCCAUGAACAUGGACCGACUCUUGGUAGAUGCGGUGGGUUACAUUUUAUAUCGUUUUCGCGUGGGAAGGUUGUAUGUGAUUCUUCGAACGGUGCUUCUUUAAUUUUCUUUUCAACCUCCACACCUCCCAAUCCAUCUUAAUCGCUUUAUUUCUUUAUAAAAUUUCAAAUCAUCAUCAUGGAAUUUUUUUUUCUUUUUUUCUUUCAAAGAAUUAGAUUGAUGAAGAAUUAGUUUUCAUGUUUGAUUUCAUUAUAAUAAUAAAAAUAAAAUAUAAUUAAAAUUUAUAUAUAUAUAUUCAUAUUAAAAAAUUAAAAUAAACGAAAUAAGCUUAAAUAAAUCUCAUAUAUAUAUAUAAAAAAAUCUAAAAUAAAUUUAAUUUAUUUUAUUGUUAUCCAGACGUUUGAACAGACACAUACUUCCAUGGAUAUGCGAAGACUUGAUCACUUGGAUAUAAAAGAAAAUAUAUAAGAUCCUAAAGUUUUAAUUUUUGCCUCAUGGUGAGGCAAGCUUUGAUAUGCGUGAUGUAGUAAUACCCUUGUGGGAGUUCCCUACAUGCACACUUGUGUUUUAAAACUUAUCAAAUAUUAAAAAAAUUAAUGAAUGGAGAUGCUUUCAUUAAUUUGACUUAUAAGGUCUAUGAUAUAAAUUAUUUAAUUAAUUAAUUAAUUAAUUAUUAGAUUACAAGGAAAACCGAGGAAAAACUUAGAAUUUAGUGUCGGUUGUGAUUAUUUUUUAAGAUAAGUUUUAAUAUUCUCAUAUUUUAUAUUUUAUGUCAAAGUUAUUAACUAUUUUUGCUUUUAAAAAAAUAAAAAUGAAAGAAAAUAUAUUUUUAUUUUUAUAAAUUAUUAUUUUGUUAAGCAUACCCUGAUUGACGUGCAAUAGAAGACUAAUGUAAAUAAUAUCGGUCUAUACAUCUAAAUUCAACAAUACAAUCAUGUACAAAAACUUUACUAUCGUAAUUGUUUAUAUCCACCUAAAACUCCAAUGUUUUAUUUGGUAAUUGUUUUUUAAAACUGUUCUUUAAUGUUUUGUAAAAUAAAAGUUUUUUUAUUUUUAAUUUAUUUUAAAUAUUUUUAAAUAUGUUUUAAAAAUAAUUUUUAUAUUUAAUGUUUUAUUUUUAGGGAGAAUUAUGUUUUGGGGGUAGAUGAGCCCCCAAAUUAAUAAAAGGUUCAUGUAACUCUUCAAAUUGAGUCUAAGACCCAAUGAAAGUAUGGAAAUUGAGUUGAAGGAUAUCAUCCUUCAGUAUUUCCAAAAAUGCCCUUUAUUGAUUUUGAGAAAAAAAUUAAUAUUUUUGAAAAAUACUUUUAUUUAAUUUAAUAUUUUUGAUUUAAUGUAAUAUUUUUUAAAAAUGCUUUUAUGUAAUUUAAUAUUUUUUAAAAUACUUUUAUUUAAUUUAAUUUUUUUAAAAAUAAAUUUAUUUAAUUUAAUUUUUUUUAAAUACUUUAAUUUAAUUUAAUAUUUUUGAAAAAAAAUUAAUUUAAUAUUUUUGAAAAAAAAUUAUUUAAUUUAAUAUUUUUGAAAACUAUUUUUAUUUAAUUUAGUAUUUUUGAAAAAAAAAUUAUUGAAAAAAAAUUAUUUAACUUAAUUUUACAAAAUAUUUUAUAUGUGUUCUUAAAGGGUAUAUUUGUCCAUUACUAUUUCAUAUCCUUCCACUCAAUUUGAAGAGUUAUAUGGAUCUUUUGUUAAUUUGGGGGCCCAUCUACCCCCAAAACAUAAUUCUCCCUUAUUUUUAAUCAUUUUACAUGUUUGUAUAAUUAUUAUUUUUAAAAUAACCAUAAAAAAUGAAAACAACUAAAAAAUAUUAUUUAAAAAUACCUUAUUUUCUAUUCUUAAAAAUAGAAAUCAGAAAAUAAUUUUUAAUUUUUAAACGUGUUUUUUGUUUUUUUUUUUUUAAGAAUAGAAAACUGUUAUAAAAAUUAGUUACCAAUCAAGCCCCAACAUUUCAGAAAAUAAAAAUGAACCUAUUCCUUAGUUAAAUUUAGAUUUCAAAUUUUUUUAAAAGAACCUAAAAAUAAAGAAAAA
This 86466-nucleotide long non-coding RNA is filed under the name Vitis vinifera (wine grape). RNAcentral describes it as "long non-coding RNA (VVIN_LNC006121)". The record is from RNAcentral. Lineage: Eukaryota; Viridiplantae; Streptophyta; Magnoliopsida; Vitales; Vitaceae.